Xyrichtys novacula (pearly razorfish) is the source of this 64754-nucleotide non-coding RNA. Lineage: Eukaryota; Metazoa; Chordata; Actinopteri; Labriformes; Labridae. The record is from the annotation of a GenBank genome assembly.
UGAACAACUUAAGGAAGUUGCCACAAAAAAUGUUGUCUGAGUGCCCCGGCAGCCAGCCUCAAGCGGACACUCAGGGAACCGCAGGAAGCUUGCACAAAAACACUAACAAAUCUGAUUGCAGAUCUUUAUUUCAUGUAUUGCACAUGUGCUCAGUUCGCAAACCAUUUUACUUACCUCUGCUUUACUGUUGUUUUCAUUGUUUACAGGGAAACCUUGAUAUUGUUAUUCAUCACACCACAACUGAGAGGCGUCAGGGCUCCCCCACAAACAAGCGGCUGCUGGAAGAGAGUAGGUGAGUUGUGUUUAGUCUCUUUGCUAAAGAAAUCAGGCAGAGCUAAAAAGAUGUUUGAUGGGUAGUACAAUGGCUUGGACCCUUUCUGUACUGUUGAUAAGUGCUGUUCUGAGCAUUAUUUGUUGCUAUAGAGUGGCUUUUUGGUUGAGGUUUGUGCGUGGAGACAUAGACCACUGUGUAUUGCUAUUGUGUGGUCAUUGCUUAAGUUGGUAUAACUAGAGAAGCAAGCAGUCGGCAACAUUCAUCUCUUGGGGGGUGUCUAACUCAGUGUUACGGUGAGUUUGACCCUAACUUAAAUUUAUGCCGGAAUAUCCCUUUAACAACCUUGAGACACUGACCUUCAGAGGUUGUCAAGUCUGGAGAAAAUAAGUGCUGACUCUAGCCAGGUCAGAGAUCACAGGUAGUGAAAAAUAAAAGCAUUCAGUGUUACAAAACUGCAUAACCAUUUGAAAGCAGAGAGAUUGAAAGUGAUUAAAUGCACCGCAACGGCAACUUUGUGUUUACUUAUAACAUUUCUGUAAAAGGGAAAAAAAAUAUGUCUUUAUCACUGACUUUACAUCUUUCAGUUAGGGAAAGAUUAAACAAUUUCUUCAAGGUAAAGUCAAAUUAAAGUAUAACUUGUCCCACAAGAAUGAAAAUUUAAGCGAUUGAAAUUGAACCACUUGGGGUCUGAAUGAGAUGCAAAACAGAAAGCAAAUUGUAAAUCUGGGAAAGGUUACAAUUUGUAGACUGUAAAUGGUGAUUAUUUUGCAAGGUAAAUGUGUUGUGAGAGGGGGAUAGUGACACUGACAAGAGCCAAGGUGAACCCCAGUUGAUGUCUGGUGAAGAUGAUGGAUUGAUGAUGGAUUGCUUGUCAUGACAGACAGUUGUACUGAAUAGAUGGGGGCUGCACCAGCUCAGAGCUUAAAGAAAUACCAGUACUGUUAAUGCUAGAAUUAAAACAUUUAUACUUGGUUUUGUUUUUACUGUUGUUCAAUAAAUGUUUUCAUGGAAAAUAUGAGUCAAUACAGUAUAAAGAUAUAGUCUCUGUGAUAAAACUAGUGAUAGUUUUAUUAGAGUUUCCUUUUCUGUAUUGUUCUUUCACUGCCUAUUUAAUACAUCUACGAACAUGACCCAUGUUUGCUGACUAAAGAAGCAGGGUCAGUACACCAUGGAAGAGGAGGGUUGAAGUAAAUGCAGUUCACGGGCUGAUAGUGGACAGAUAUAUGAGCACAGAACUGGACUAUGGGAUGAGAAUGCGGAGGAGUCGAUCCCCUUGCGAAGAAGGGUGUCUAUGAAUGAAAUAAGAAGAUUUAGGAAGGAUAAAACAUACACUAGCUGCAACAUUCAGGAUCAUUUGGAGACAUUUAAACAUUUAAAGAUGCUUGAUCAUCACCACUUGAAGCCAAAACACAAGUACACCUCCUUUUCAUCUGAUCACGAUUACGCUCCGUCUGUGGAUGCCUGUGUUGGUAAUUAAGCUCUUUCAUGUCUGAAUGAGCUUAAACUGUGUUUUCCUCUCUAAUUGCAACACAAAAUUAAAAAGCUCAAUGAAACAAUAUGAGACAUUUGCAUAAAUGAGUUAAUUCAGUCGUAGAAAAGCUUAGACUUUUGAUUAACUUCUCUUUUCUAAUUGAAAGUUUGAAAUUGUCUUUUAAUUUUUAUCACAGACAAAAAUAACAGGUAAAAUGUGGUCUUAUAGGUAAAAGACAAAGCCUAAACUGCAUCAUUAAUUGAGCUACAAGUGACCAACAAGCUUCAGCUCCUCAUAUUUUUAAUGAAGAAUGUAUGUCCUGAGAAAAAUCUUAUACUAAUUUAUCUCUAGCACUUUAAGAUUAGCUUUAAGUUUUCCAAUUGGUGAUCCACUGAUUUUUUUUUUAAUAAAAACCAAAAUUGUCUGAGCGGAUGGUUUAGUAUCUUGGGAUAAAGCCUGUUUUGCAUCCUAGAUAUAAGGAAAUGUUUUCUUAUUAAACAAAUGAAGAUAAAAUGACACACAUUUGGUUCCUAAAUUGUUUUGUUUUAAACCCAGAUGUUCUUUUUAUUGUUAUUUGUAUUAUUUUUUGUUGAGAUGACUGUUUCUGAGGAAGAUACUGAUUUGACAGAUGUUAUGGCAUAUGUGUCCAAGUAAUUGCCAUUUGAAUGUGCUCUAUCAGCAGCAUCAGUGUGUUCAUGUGCAGAACCUCAGUGUGCGAGUAUGUGUGUGUGCGGAAGAGCGUUUUCUGCCUUUUGCAUGUGACCACUACGCCGUACCUCGCUGUUUUAAUGAGAUAGUGUUUAUCUAGACAGACUGUCAUUGACAAUAAGCACUGUUCCAUCAGCUAAAACCAACACAGCUGUCUGAGAUUAUGGACCCAUACACUGAAAUACUUAAUUGGUGGGUAAACUUUGACUGCAUUUCUCAUAGGAAUGUAUUUAAAUGUUGAAGGCUUCAUAUAUGCAGUGCAGGGAUGCCUCAUUUGUAAAAUCAAGCAAAACAGUACAUGUGGGUUAAAGGUAGCACAUCUAUUUUACCAAUGGUUAAUAUUUUUUUUUGUUUUCAUAAAAAAAGCAAACUGUUUUGGAAAAGGCUGUGCUCCAAAAAAUCACUUGCAGUAGAGCCAAAACCACAUGAUGUAAAGCCGGUCUUCAAUCAAAGUAAAAUACGCCAAAAACAUUAUCAUUUGAGAUACUGCAGCAAAACAACAAACCUCUGUCUACACAUGACAGCACACCAUUCUGAUCAGCCGCUAGCAACAACAAGAGGGCCUUGUAAAAAAGAGUGUGUGCCGUGCCAACAAACACCGAAUAAAGCUUUCAACUCAACAGCUCCCUCAACUUCUCAACAGGCUCACGCACUUUCAUGCUUUAUCUGUUCAAACUUGUGCACUUACAGCGCUGUGGCAGCUGCUUGAUCAUUUUGAGCUGUGACAUGUAAUCACAACGUGUCAGUUUAUUAUAGAAACUGCAGUGUGUGAGAUGUAAAGCAAAAACAUUUGACACUCUUGACUAUUAUAAGUUAUUAUCCAUCAGAGAGAAUAAAAACUAUCCAUGAUCAAUUUAGUGCAUGUGUCCCCCUCAUCUUUACUUCUUAUGAGGUACAGGCUCAACACACACUCAUGUAUAAAGAUAUGCCCACAUCCAAAUGUUACAAGAACAAAUGACGGACCAGCCUGUUCAGUUUAAUGUAAAUCUACGGUCCUCUCACUGUUUCUAAUCUGUAGGAAGUUCUGGUGUCAUCCAGAAUCUAUUCUUAAAAUGUCAAUCUCAAUCUAUGACUCCCAGGGAAACAUGCGAGAGCUAGUGAGAUCUCGUGAGAAAUAUUGGUAAUCUCAAGAGCGUUUCUCCGACGACGGCGGGGUCGGAUCGAAUCCGGUGGGCGCUGUUGGCCCGCAGAUCUGAUCUGCCUGCCGGUCCGGAGUGGAGCAGAGCUGUUUCGGAUUCUGUGGGUUUAGCCAGUAACCCUCCUCCAUUCAUUUAAAUGAAGAUCUGCUUUUGCGGUCAACUCUGUGUAGGCUGUGGUCAUCAUUCAAAUCCACUGUGUAAUGAAAUGCAUAUCUUGAUAUAUGUCAUAUCGUGCUGUCCAAUGAAAAACACUUAUCUCCACUUUUUCAAUACAAUGUAUGGUCCAUAAUCCUCCCUUACAACCUGUAGCUUUGGGUAUCCAAAUGACUGAUGGAAAGACAUUUUAUAACAUCAUCUUUUCAACAAGUAACUCCAUUGAGUGUUGGAAGUGUCAACAAAGCAUGUAUCUCCUGCACGUAUCUCCCGCAUUGCCUGGUACGCCAAAUGGCCUGUCCAUGCCUGGCUACACACAUUGGCUUUUGCCGACCUAAACAUUUUUUCUAACCAUGAUAGUGUUGCCCUCCUGUAUGUUACAUUUCUUGAGCCAAAGUUCAUCACCAAGGGCAAAACUGCUGCUGUUUUCUCUCUCACACUUGGUCAUGGACACUAGUUCAUGGGAAAUUGGGAGUCGUGACUCAAAAAGGUUGACAACCAAUGUCAACAUGGUCGACAUAGUGGGACAUAAACAGGAUACUCAAAGCCCGUAAAUAACCAAACGUCAUUUUCCUAAUGUUGCUGAAAAAAUAAAUCUUUUCGGAGAUAUUUGUUUUUUAUUGGACAGCAACAAUAUUGCGGUACACAUGGUGUCGUGAGAUAUACCGUUGUGGUCUCUGUAUCAUGUUUGAUAUUGUAUCGUGAAGCUGUGGAAAAGUCUGGCUGUGGAAGUUUUCUUCUGAAAGGCAGAUGAGUAUUUCUCAGACAAAGCACAUCUCCAGAUAGACGAGAACACGUGGCAUCAAACAAUUCCCUACUCGAUGGAUUUGAUUGGUUGGAGCUUCACGGUAUCUCACUCCAACUGUGUUAUUGUGUUUGCUUUGCCAUCUAAAUGUCCCCGGUGAAAUUUGAAUGAGUCCAAGCUUAUAACACAAAAUAAACAGGUUUAUUUAGUCCCACUGAGAUGCUCUGAAAACCAGCCAAACCAUGAGGUAAACAGCAGGAGAGAGCUUUUCGGCUGAUAAGCCAUAUGUAAGCUGUGAAAGCUGUCUGGGAGGCGACUAAAUUACCUUAUUCUAAUGAGGCAAAAGUGAGUGUAGCAUACCACAUGAACAUGAUGUAAAAAGUGACAGAAAAAUACAGCCAAGCUUUGAUUUUCAUAUCACAAUGACGUAUUUGUAGCUGUUUAUAUUUAGUGUCAAAGAUGUUGUGAACAAGCGCCAAAGAUAGGGUAUAAUAUACUAAAAGCAUCAGUGACCAAGUUCUUGUAAAGUAAAACUUCUUGACCAGGAAUAUUUGUGAAAUCAAUAAUCUAAAGUCUGAGUGGAAAUAAAUAAAUAAAAUCAUGAGUUGCAUCACUUGUACAAGCAAAGCGCUUUUCAACAUGAGUGGAAAGACAAGUGACAUUUACAGACGAGUGAGCUGCUUAAGUGUCAGUCAGCAGGUAACACACAGGGGAGUGUUUUGCGUGAAGUCUUUAUUCCACUUUAAUAUGCACUUAAGUAAAUGAAGUUUUGAAAACACCACACAGAAGGUAACAAUCUAGUGAGCAAUGAACACACUGUCAGAUGAGUCAUCCAUCACUGUCGUCUCAGCACGGUUCUGCUCUGACAAAACAGCUCUCAGUGUUUAAACUAGGCAUCUAACGUGGAGCAGAAACCUUUCAGUCCAAUCACCUUCUUCUUUAGCCAACAUAAAUAAAUAAAUAAAAAAGAAAAGAUAAGACACCAACAUCUGUUUCCUUGCAAGAACCAAAACAACCUCUUUUUUUUUUUUUCACCAAAUUGAUUUCUACACCUCUUGUCAUUGUUUGUCCUCCAGGUUCAGGAUGAUAUAGUACUUGUACGGUCAUUAUCAAUAUGUGACUCAGAUCCCAGAGGAGACAUUUUUCUGAUAAUGAGAAGAACAUUUUACCAUGCUGAGGGCUGAGAAAAAUACUGAACAGCACCUUGCUCCCCCCAAAAAAAUUUAAAUUGAAUCAAACGACCUGUGAUCUUUUGCUCCAUCUCAGUAUAAGCUCUGUCUUGGUUAGUAAGUGGAGACUAUAGCACACAUUGAAACUUAGUUUAUUUGUUCGUUUGUAAAAGUUAGUUUGUGCCUUGACUUGUUCCUUUGGUUGGUUUGCUCAUCUUAACUAGCAGACCAUAACGUCAAAACUAACUGCAACUAACUGCAAGUAGCCAAUCAGAGCCAACCUUAUCUCUUUGUGGAGGGUUUUUAAUCUGCUCCUGACACCUAACCCUCGCGUACCCGUUUCAGGCAUUAAAAUUACAAUAUUCAAUUUGUCAAUUCAUUAGCAUCUGGAUAUCACAAAGGGAAACCAGUACAAAUUUAAGUGUGUAUCAUUAACAUAAAAAAAUUCUCAUAGUAGCUUUAAGAAGAAGGCUAUUGUCAAUAUUGUCAACAUAAGGGUGACCAUAUUCUGAAAAAGAGGACACUUGUACGCGGGGUGGAGUUGUAAAAUUUUUAGGGUUUUUCAGGUCGGGGUGAGUGUUUUUUUUACGCAUUUCUGACUCAGUUAAAUGCAUAUUCUGAAUUCAUCUUUAAAAAAAACAAAAAACAUUUUAUCUCAUCUUUCCUUUUUUUUUUUCUCACUGGCAAAAACGGGCUUCCAUACAAACAUUCUGAAGAAUUUUUUAAACCCCAGACAGGCCGGACAGCCCCCCAAAAAGGACAUGUCCCGGUAAAAGAGGACAUAUCGUCACCCUAGUCAACAUUUUUAAGAUAAUUAUACAAAUAAGUGGCAGAUUGUGCAGAUCUCUAUUCGUGGGAAAAACAUUAGCAGGGGUACAAAUCAAAGUGGAUAUAGUUUUAGUUGUUGAAUUCAUCGCUAAGAGCAUGCUGCCUACACACAUUAGAGAGUAAACCCCUCCGCUCAUCCUCAUCCUCCAAGUAACCCCUUACCUUGAGGCUUCUCUGCUAGUUCAACACCAACAACAGCACAGUGAAAACUUGAUCCUAAAGUAAAAUAUGUAAAACUUUUAAUUAGAGUUAUGAAAAUGGUUACGUUGAGAUCAUGAGUUGGAGACAAAUUUCUUUAUUUUUAUCACUUUCCAGUUAAAUACUUCAAAAGAAAUGAAGAUUCUUCUCCCCAAGUUAAUUAGCGCUCACUAAAACUUACAUGGGAAACCUGCUUAAUUGAAGCAACAAAAGCUUGGAUCUGGAGACACAUGGAAAAAAAAAGUUUUAGUCGAGCCUCAGAUUUCAUUCAAACAUUUUUAAAAGGAAGCUCAUGAAGAUAAACUCCUGAACCUCUUUGUGCUGAGAGCCACUUCUGAACAAUCUUUCCAAGCUCUGAAGAAAUGUAAAGCUACAGUGCGAUAAGCCUGUUUAUCACAAAGGUUUUAAAGCAACACUAGGCCUCUCUCUCCUCAGCAUAGGAUUCUUCUUCAUACUGUAUGUGAUUGAUGAGAGAUGGGCGAUCUCAAGCACAUUUUUCAAACUGCUCUUUUUAUUUUCAGUACAUGUAAAACCAGAAGGGAGAAGACAGAGCAAUCAUGUUGAAAUAUCUUCCCUUUUAUCAGAGCUGUAGGUUUUCUAUGCUGGAAUUAUUGACCAAGGUUGAGCCUUAAUUCAAAACAGCCAGAUUGUGUUUCAUAUGCUGUCACUAAGUCAUGAAAAAACCUCUCUUUUCGAGUGAAAGUAGUAAAUAUCAUGAUAUUGACAAUAAUUUUCCUCUCUACAAAAUCACUAAAACCACACAUGGCACAUCCUCCAAACUCUGAGCAGGGACAUUUUGUCCAGUGUUGGAAGAAAACUGUUAGUUAGUAAAAAUGCAGAAGUAGACAGACUAUCCCGCAGUGUUAUUUGACAUGCAAUAAAGAUUAUACUGAAGAGGCAGGUCACAGUCUUAUUAGAAGACUUAACAAACGUCAAUACUAUAAGGAUGUGUUGACAAGAAACCGAUCUGGGGCGAAUGUUUGUCAUCCACAGAGACCAGCACUCUCUUGCUAGUUUAACCGAAUUAUACGGUGAUUAUUUUGGGCGAUCACCUCUCCUUCACCUUACUGUAACUCUGCAGGGGAAGAGAGGCAGACGAAAAUGACAUAAAAUACCUCGAGGAUAUAUAAAAGCUGACAGGGGACCCUUUAGCUGCUUAGUGUCACCCUAUAAUAGUGAUGAAGAGCACCGAAUGUACCCAGUUAUGCAAAUGGGUAACGAAUUAAUUAAAAGAAACUUCCAUGCCAAGUUGUUCUCACACGGUCUGAAUCUUAAAACAAUUAGCAGCUACAGUAGUUCCAACUAAACGGUUGUAUCCUCAUUAAUAUUUCACGUUUGUAACACAGUCCCCCUGAAUCUAAUCAGGUCACCAGCUGGGGUCCUGCGGUGACAGUAAUUAACCUCUUAUAUUUUUUCUUAAGGUAGGGUGUUGAAUAUUCAACCCAGUUAUAAGUUCACAGACAGUGUAAAGAUCUAUGUAAAAACAUAACUCCAGUUGCCUCACCGACAUACUUUUACUGUAAAUCCAUCCUUGAUGCUGCUGUUUAUAUUAUCCUUGCAGCUUUCCUUCAAGCACCCCCGGCAAGUGGUUUUUGCUGAAAAUAGUCAAACACAAUCCCAGUAAGCAGGUCAGAGUGUGCAAUGUUCACUGAACAAAACCCUCAGUAUCAACCUGUCUCUCUCUGAAAUCUGCUAAAUAAUCCAAUAAUAUUUUGGACUUUCUUAUUUCCGAGAGGCAGUGGAGUCAGCAUUUAGUUCAUUUCUAAAACUUUCCUCUAUUUUCUGUUUUGUCGAGGCAGGGGAUUAUUGGCUCUGCAGGGGGCCCCCCUCACCGAAGUAUUACACUACAAGCUGGCCUGAAAUGAUCUGCUUCUCUCUUACUGCUGCUUUUUCCAAUCCGUGUUUUCCUUUUCCAGUUUGUCACUCUGGCUGUCUGUCUCCACACAUCUGUGAAAUUUAUGCUGCCAUUUCUCUUCAACUACCCAUUACUAUCUUCUACUGUAUACCCUCCCCUCAUCAUAAAUCUCCCUCCCUUCAUCCUCACAUCAUUCGCACCUCCCUCUUUCGCUCCGCUAAUCUCCUCUGAUUUGGUUAUGCGAGUUUCCCGCCAUUUGUCCUCCAUCCAUCCAUCUAACCGAGCAUCCAUCCACCUAUCCGCACAUAUACUCAUCUGUACAUGCCGAGCAAUGAAUGGAUCAGAGGAGGUGGGGUUCAUUUUCUGUCUCCACUCUGUCACUCUUUGAUCAUCCCACUGUGUCUAUUUCAGAAAUAGACUCAUCACAAACUUACAGGGACUUAAUAAGGCAGCAAUUAACCACCAGCCAGAGUGCUGUGUGUGCGCGUGUGUGUGUGCGUGUGUGUGUGUAUGGGUAAGCUGAUUUAGGCUGUGCAUAUUUGUCUCCAUGUGUGCAUCUGCAGCUUCCAAAUAAAGUGCGUCUCUGCAGUUUGUACAGUGUGACAGUUUGCAAGCAUGUGUGAGUGUUUUUUUUUUUUUAGCUAGUUGACAAUCCAAGGGACGGACCUCAUCCAUCAUUUCCACUCUUCAAAUAAUGGAGAUACUUUGAAAGCUUAGUCCAUUACAGACUUCACAUCCUUUUUUCGGUUUUUAAGGUUUGUUAAUUUCAAAACAAGACGGGAUUUCAGACUGUGAUUAAUAUCUUUUUGGUUAGUGCACUUCAGCAAAUUAUAAUUUUUGAGAAACAAACAACAACAUCCGUGGUCAGGGUUCCUGGGCGUACAAUGAUUAUCGUAUUUGUACGAUAAUUUUGCCCUCUGUACGAUGUAUGAUCAAUCAAAAAAAGGCUAAAUGUACGAUAAUUUGACGAUGUAGUGCAAUGAGACUGUCUCAGUUUGCCAGACACUUUAUUUUUCAUUUUUUUACUCACAAACUCUAAAUGCAUCUUUUACCACGUGAUGUUUCUAUCCAAUCGUAGUUUGAGUGACAUUUGUCUCCGAACUAAGGCUGCACCAUAUUGGAAAAAACUAACAUUGCGAUUUUUUUCAACCCUGCGAUAUUAAAAAAUACAGGAAUUUUCACCAGAUGACCUGAAUAGCACUUAAUGUUAUGCUGCACUGUUCAAAUCUUGUAGACAAUUAACCUGCUCUGAUCUUACCUCUUUUUGUGAAUGUUAGUAGAACGGCUUCUGUCUGUCUCAGAGAUAUUUUUAGCUUUUAUUGUGCUGGGACGUUAUUGUGGCAACAGAUGAACACAGAACACGUGUUUUGGUCGACAUCAUCCUCCUUGUAACCAAAAUAAUUCCAUUCCAUUCCGUUGCUUUUCUUUUUGUCAACAAAUCUUCAUUUUCAGUCUUUUCUUUUGUUUUUUGCUCAUUUUGUAAUCGUUGUUGUCACCGGUGUUGUGCCAACACAACACUGUACAUGGUAGAAAUGUGAGAAAACUAAAAUUCAAAGUGUUCAAACUCCUUUUUAGUAAACAGUAAAAUGCUUGUUGAAGGUGCUGCUGAGGAAAAGUCAUAUCCAAGGAUUGAUUUAUUCAGUGGUUGAAUCUGUUUAGGAACUUCCAUGAAGGUCCAUCCAUUGUUUUUCAGACUGUCUCAAGCCUUUUACGUGACAUUGCCUAAGACAGGGCAGAGCAGGGCAGGGCAAGUUUGUUUUUCCUUGCCCCACCUUCGCCCUGCCACAGAGCGACAGAGAAAGUUUACUGAUAGUAGUAAUUAAGCUCCAGUUUCUUUUUAGCAUUAAGUGUAAAAGCAGAUCUGCCAAUCAGUGUCUGUAACAGUAGUCAACGUCAUUGAUUAUCCAAACAUCAGCUGUUAUCCAGCUUCACUCACAUCACUCUGUCGGUCGUGUGAGCACACCUAUUCAGUUUGGAGCCCCACUUCUGUAUGCAUUAGCUCAACAAUAGUCCAACCACUGGUUAUUGCUCAACUGUCUGACUCUUAUAUAUAGGCUGCCCCAUGUCGUACUGUGCACACAUUUUACAGAGCCCAUUAGGAUUUGCACUAUUUCUUCCACUACUGUAAGUUUAUAUGUUUCCUCUGAUUCCUCUCAGUCACACUCCCUCUUCUACUCAUUUGCUUUGAAAGCUUGUUGAUCCGUAACAUAGAAGACAACCCAAGAGAGCUCAGGCAGUCAUGAAAUAAAUUUUGAUAAGCUCCCAGCUCUUUUUCACUCUGAAGAACUGUAUUCUACCCUCACUUCUGAGCCAAAUGAGCCUCGAAGGGGCCUUGAUGUAGCAUCAAGUGGCUCUCAGUUUUCCUAAAUUCACUGGCCUUGGAAAAAGUCCGCCUGUGACAAUUUCUUGUCACUUUCUGCUUCUGGUGCCAAAAUAAAUUUGAAUGAUGUUUUUUAUUAUUUUAUUAUUAUUGAGGUUCAUGUUGUUGUGAGUGCAGAAGAAGAGAUGUGUGUUGAAAUUGCCUCUACAGUCUCUUUUGUGACAGUUGACCCAGAUUGACCUGAAACUUGAUUUACUUUUAACCUAUUCCGACAUGAAUUUAUGUGAUCUACAACUGUCAUUUUAGGCUAAAUGACACAUUAGUUAAAACACAUCUGUUUUAUCAAUAUUGUAAGAAGAUGUAGAUACAAAAGAUCUCAUAGUAACUGAAUUUAUUUCUUUAAAGAACACUUCAAGCUCCCAUGAGGGACUUUUGAUUUGUGUCAACUUUGGCACCUCUUAAGGAAAAAGCAGUUUUGGCUUAUUUUGCCUUCUUCAUGCUUAAGUGGCGCCUUUUUAAGAAAAAAAUAUCUCAUCCUGAUGAAUUUUAACAGUCAAAUGUGUCGUUUUUUUCCGCCUACUCUACAUGAAAAUUGUAAAAAUAGGUCUGUUUUUUUCCCCAGCUACUUAGCCAACACCUGCCCCCUCACACAGACAUUAAAAAGGACUGUAUUUAAAUUGUCAGUCUUGUCGCUCAUGAACUCAAUUGAUAUCACAAUGGUUAAUCAGCACUUUAGCUCAUUAGUUGACUUAUGAAAACCUUUGAGGUAGACUAUUAUUUUUUCUUCCCAGUGUUUUCAGACCAGCAGAUAUGUUUGUCAUAAGCUUAUAUAUCCAUUUUUUUCAAAGAAUGGUAGACCAGAUAUGCCUCUAAUUUAGCAAAUAUGUCACAAAUGAGUCCUAAAAUUUUCGUAAAUUUGGUGCACCGUCAGAAACACGUUUAUCUUGCUCCCUGGCGACCUCUUGUCUAACAGUAUGAGCAUCAGGGAAACUUCAGCUACUUAUUCCAAAACUUAACGUAGCCAUAACACGCAAGUUUAUUCUGACACAAUAGUUGCAAGUCUGGACAAAGAGUACAUUGUGAAAGGACAUAAAUGCGACAGACACGGACAGAAAGACAGAGAAAAAAGACUCUCCUCAGAUGAAGAAAGGGAAGCAGGGUUAUUUGUUUUAUUUUGUUCGACUGUUUCACACACACACAAAGGUAGACAGAGACAGAAGAGGAGGUUUUCAGUUCCCUCAUCUGGAUGUGUGUCCUGCCAGCAGGCCCUGGCAGUGGCCUCUCAUUCAAUGCAAAUGGGGUUUCCAACAUGCUGCCUGUUGCUAUACUGCAACAUUAUAUUUGCUGAGGCUGGGGUGCUGUGAUAACACUCCACUGCUCCCCCAGCUCACUUCUCCUUUAUUCUUUUCUUUCAAUGAUACUUGUGCUGCUCUGUCAGUUCUUGUUGUUCUUCUACUUGUUCAUCAUCUGUCUAGUGUGCAUCUCUGAGUUUCUGUGUCAAACUCCCUUCUUUUUUUCUCCACUCUCUCCAUCACAGGAAUUGAUCCCACUGCUUCUUGAAAAAAAAAAAAAAAAGAAGUUUUUAUGAAGCCUUCUCAAAGACUAUCUCUCAGGUUCAGAUGGGGCCCUUCUCCCCGACUCCCCCUUCAGGAUUGGUCCAGUACCAGUUAAACCCUUAAUAUCAGCAGUUCAGAGGACUGAAUAUGACAGCCAAAGUAGGCAGAGGGGAUACUUUGAGAGGCUUUUUUUGUGUGUGUAUGUGUGUGUUAUUUUUCAUAUGUGAAUUAUAAGCUUUGAAUUCAAAGUUAGAGUUAACAUCUUAACAAACAACCAUUUAACAUUUCUGAUAAAAUGCUGUAAUACAAUGUAGUUUAAUCAUUAAGUUAAGAGAGGUUCAAAGUUGGCAUCCAGGACAACACUCAGGACAGUACCUUAAAGUCUAUGUUUUCUUAUUAACCUAGUAUUUUACAUGAGCAGAUGAGAGCUGAAUGAAUAAACUGAUCAUAAACUGAUUUAUAACUUUAUAGAUUUUACAAGCAUUAUGGUAGGUGUUACAUUCAACAAGCCUUAGAACACCAGCAGUGUGAGAGCUGACACCAGACCACCUCUUGGUAUAGAUGAUAUUGGCAGUAGACUACACAUCCACAUGCUGAAAGGGCGCCUAGUCCCCCUUGAUAAUUUACCAUACGUUUUCAUGAUGAAAAGGCUGUUCAUGCCCUCAGGUGCGUAGUACAAGAUGUGGGGUUAAGAGGGGAAGGUGAAGAAAUCCUAAUAUCAAAGUAUGUCAUCUUUUAUAUAAUGCUGUUUUGUGUAAUGAAUCCUUAUCUAGCCUAGGGCACCAAAAUGACUAGAGCCAACCAUGCCCCAGACCAUGAUAUGGCUUGCAUCUCUUUCUUUUGUAGUUUUAUCAGACGACCAGGAAAAGUGUUGCACCAUAUGAUAGUUCAAUAAUUUAAAUGGGGUUCAAAUAAAGAUCUAUAUAGGCUUUCAUGUUUCCUGAAGUUUAACUGGACUCUUGUAUGACAGAAACAAGUAACGCUUCGUGUAAGAGUGGUUUGUUAGGUCAUUGUCAAGAGAAGUGAACCCUGGAUUGAACCCAAAAUUUAAGAGGUUUACUUGAAGUCUGGUUUCCAUUUACACUUCGAUAUUGUUACCUGCUGUAUAAGUAGCUUCUGAACCAACUUUAAGUGAUGCCUCUUAUGUCAUAAUACUUUUUUUUAAACUACAUAAUCUCAAAAUCAAUAAUUAUCAAUUUAUCAAUAACACAAAUCAAAUUUUAAGUAAAAUACAGGACUGUCAUACAUGUUGUCCUUGUUUUCUAGAAGGCACCCAGUCUUCUAUACACGACUCUUUCUAAAACUUCAUUAGGGGCAGGUUUGGAUAUUGGUCAAAAAUGGAAUCUGUUUUUUUCCUGCUUUACCCUCUAUCUCCUUUCUUGACUGACUCUGGCUUUUCCACCAAAACUUGUGGUUUUUGUCCAAAGUUUUUACUUGUUAAAAUUUAGCUAGCCAAAGUAUCUGAGCGUUUGUUUCUGAGUAAUUUUUAGUUAUUUUUUCUAUUUUUCUAUACAUAAUAUGUGAAGGGUCAUAGGAUGUUUUGCAAAGCUCUUCCGCCCAAUAAAAAAAUAAAAUUGACCGGGAUAAUAGAGAAGUCCUUUUAAACAUUUUCUGAUGGUGAUUCUCUCUGAAUUACGAAGUCUGAAAGCUUAACCUUCUGGAGGGUAAUGACCAGAGCAAAUGUCCCUGUAGUAUUGAUUACACCACACAGCUUUAAAGACACACACACACACACACACACACACACACACACACACACACACACACACACACACACACACACACACACACACACACACACACACACACACACACAUACACACACACACACACCGAUUGCAAUAGCCAUUACUGAUAGCCUAUCUCAGUAUUCCACAUAAGCAAGUAAUCACUAUGGACAAAAGACUAUUAAACAGGCACCACAAGUGGUCCAUGAAAGUGAAGCAUAGAGGUCUAGAGUUCUCCUUCUGGACUGGCUCCAGCACUGAUCCAUCUAUAAAGUUAAUAUAAAUGUCUCUAUAGUUAGUUAUAAUGCUAAUCAUCUUUAAAGAAGUUAAUUUUAAUUGGUUAUUUGAGUAACAAAGUGUGGUUGAUUGACAGCUGUUUAGACAAAUGCACGCUCCUGCAGUUCUCUGGAUUGAAAUUAAAAAAGUAGAGGAGGAGUGGAGGAGGAGCUUCAGUCAAAUGCUUCUGCCCCAUCAACACAACAUGGGUUAGACCAAAUAAGUAUACAUUUAUAUUUAUAUACAUAUUUGUGUCCAUGGGCCAAAAUUGAACAGGAAUGUCAGGGCAAGUAUAUGUUUCAUCCUCUGAAUAAAAGGACACCCGUUUAAUAAUGGUGUGAAUGUGAGAGGAUGUUGAUAUUAUGGUAACCAGCUGCUGAUUGCUUAAUGGGAUGAGUUCGCCGAACCAAUCACGGAGGAGCGACAGAUUCUGUGUUGGCAUUCGUGUGUCGAGGCGAUUUAAUUGUAUAUCUUUUUUGUGGAAUUGUAAAGGAUAGGGAGCUGCUCACCCCUUAGUUUUAACAGCUGUUUUGAGCUAAUUUCAGAUAGUGAUAUUUUUCCACUCUCGUUUAGAGUCGCCUUUUGUUGUGUUUGUUUAUUUCAGCAGCACUCCACAUCUGUUUCUCGCCUCAACUUUAUAUUAACAGCCAUUCAUUUUUUCUUUUCGCAAUUAAUAAUUUUUACACCACAGAGCCGGAGUUUUAUGUUGCGUCCUUUCCCCUCACGAGCUGGGUCUUAAUAUCCAGUUUCAGCAAUGCAAACACAUACACACACACACUGCUAGUUUUAAAUCUGUCCUUCAUUUAUAUUUCAGUGUGUCCUGCUAACAGAAUAAACUGAUGCCAUGCUGGUGAGGGAGUUGUCUAUGCCGUAAGAAGAGGCAGAGACACAGGGACAGAUGGAGGCAUCUUUGUAUUCUGGGCCUAAAAAGUUUCCUCAAACUCCCUGAUAUUUCUCUUAGAGAUUGUUGUGAGGUAAAGGUUGUUUUUGGGUCAGAAUAUCAGGCAAAAGUCUAAAGGUUGGGUUCAGAUCCUUUUAAGACGUGUGUGGGCAUGGUGACACUCAUUUGCUCAUGUUUUUUCAAGGUGUUUGUUAAAUGAUAAGAUGACAACUCUUACCGUUAUUCUCCAUUUUGCAUGUAGUUUUUCCUUUUCACUCUGUCAGAGCUUAAUUCUGGUGGUUACACUCUCUAUAGAAAGGCCAUACAGUGGAUUUCAGGUUGAGUUGACCAAUGUCAGUGUUUGUAGCUAUGAAAAAAUAAGGUGCAUGUUGGAAAAGCAGGUCUGCAAGCAGUGAGUGGAUUUUUUAUUUCCCCCGAUGUUUUAACGACACAUAGGCUCAUAUCUAAAGCAGUUCAGGCUCCUUCACUGCCAUCCUAAUUUAACUUUGAACUGCGCCUAAUUUCAUGCCCAAUUUCACACCUUGACCAUUAGCAGCCAGUCACUGCAUAACAGACCUAAUGAAGCUAGCCCGCUAUCCAUUACCGCUUAAGCUGACGGUCUAUACACCACUAUUAAAGAUCUACCUAAGCUACUUUGGUUGUGUGUUACAGUAACAGAGCUCAAAGUUAGUAGAUAAAUCAACAGCCAGUACAAUAAUACAGUAAUAAAUGAGGUAAAUUGACAGUUUGAUAAUAAAAAAAAUCACAAACAGCAAUGAGAAAGAGUGAUUAAAGAUAUUCUGCAUAACUUAUAUUAGUUUAACAACAUUAUGGAUCACAAAUUACAACAUUUGACAUUAAGAUCCUUUAACAAGCAGAAAUCUUGAGCAGAACCAGUAACUACACAGUCAUCUGCUGCAUUGGGUUUAGAGAGUGAAUAGCAGGAAAUGCAGAAAGAGAGAGAUAGACAGAGGAGAGAUUGAUGAACACAGUUGAAGCAGCAGGAAAGCAGGCAGGUCCACAGCAGCGAAACAUCUGUAGCAGUGAUCCAGAGGAACCUUCAGCAUGAUGGAGCUCCAAAAAAAGACUGUGUAUUAGUGAAUCUAAUGGGACAUGGUGAUUCAAAGUUAAUGACACAGUCAGAAAGAGGGUGGAAAAGGAGGGAAAGGUGUUCAAUGUGCCAGUUACCCUGACAGUCCAAACCUUCAGAAGCAUAACUAAAAGCUAGAUUUGGCCUAAACCAUCUCUCACAAUAGAUUUUACCAAAAAUGAACAUUUUCAGCCCAUCUUAAAGGUCUAGAGUUAGCCUGAAAUUACAAAAAAAAAAAAAGACAAACUUUGUAACGCUGUAAUUCCACGAGAAAAUCCCAGCUUUCUUAGCUGCAUUAAAAAAAAAAUCUACAUCUAUUCCAGUUAUCAGCUUUGAACAGUAUUUAACAAUAUGUGUUCAACAUUUAUUAAACCACAUUCCUAUUCUUGUUAUUCACAGGAGAUCAUGUCAACUUAAGUAUGAGAGUUUCUGAAAGCACAUCAGUAGGGUUUAGAGGCAAUGUGCGAAGAAUUAACCACUGACACUUUACUUAUCAAGUGUUUGCAAAACUUGAUUAUGAUGCAUAGACCUACAUAAACAGCAAUUUCACAGUCUAAAACAGCAACUGUCUUCAGGUUAUUUUUUUAUUUUAUUUGUUUCCAUGAAACUAGAACAAGACGAAUAAUUUAAAUUAUGUAAACAAAAACUAAUUUAGUAUGGACAACAUUUCUUAUUUCACACUUAGGUUGCAGGGAUAUUUCUUUUUUAACCUCUUAUAUGGUUAUUUGGAUUCUUUUAGUUCUGCUCAUAUUGCAUGUUACACAUUAAAAUGUUGUCAGAUUGGUGAUUUUAGGCACCAUUCAGCUAACCUGCCUCCACCCCUAAAAGAACAGAAAAAAAAAAAAAAACAGAAAGCAAGUCAGAUGAGUAUCUGCGACAGAAGUAUGUUCUCAAAUAAGCUGGAAGUGGAGCAAAGAUCCAAACCAGCAGCUCCAAGUAUGAUAAGCAGCUGGUCACAGAUUUUCAUUUUUCAUUAUGGAAAUUGUAACUUAUGGACUUUCUUUUUCUCUUUUUCUUGUUCAGAAAAAAAAAUAUUUUUUGCUUGUUUAUGGGUGCUGUUUUGGUAAUGCAUGCAUUCACCCACUUUUCAUUUAAUAAUUCAUUUUAGUUCACAAGAGUAUUGUUGUAAUAAUCUAAUGCAGAGUUCUCAUUCAGGCUGUUGUUUCUGUUUCUUAAAAAAAACAAUGUACAUGACUCGUCAUGUAAUAUCCUUGGUCAGAUGACAUCUCUAUAUUCAGGCAAAUUUUGAAAAAAGGUUCCUCAUAUUAAGCGCUCUGAGUGUUGAUGUGAGUCCUCUGGAAGAUGUGAGCUAUGGAGCUGGCUGUCUAUUUGGCCUGGAGCAUAUUUUAGACCUGGCAGGACCAGCGACAAGGUCCCUCUCUGUGAUACUGACAGUAAUUGAUAUUCACCCCAUGCCUGUCCAGAUGCCAGGACAGUGUGUUGCUAAAAUGACCUUUGUGAAAUGGUUUUCUUGUAAUAAAGACAUCUUCGUCCCAAUUAUAAGACCAUUUCUUUGCAAUAUGGCAUGAAUGAUGUUGAGAUGAUUCCAAAAUGUUAUGUCAUCAACUCCUCGUUGCCCAACCUCUAAUAUUAGGGCCAUAAAAAGUGGAUCUCAUUGGUGCCAGAAGAGAGUGUCCCUCUUCAAAGAAACAAACCUGAAAGUAAUGUAGAUCUCAGGAGUAAUUGUGACAUAAUGUCGAGGGCCCAAUUUUCAUACCUGUUGUUUACCGCUUCAUAACUAUGGGUCCAUGGCCUAUUUCCUCAGAGCAAAGAGCAACACAACAAAGGACUUUCAAUUAAUCUAGGCAAUCUAAAUGUAGCCUCGACAACUAAAAAUGAAAGUUUUUUAAAAGUCUAAAUUUAGACCAAGUUUAAACCAAGUCUGGGCUAUAUCUAUAAUACACUGUAUAUUGCUCAGUGGCUAUCAUACUUAUGUUGGUUAAGUACUGGGAGAUCAGUUAUGCAACUCACAAUUGCUUUUUAAAACAAAUAGUUAUCGAAUAGGUUAAGGUUAAAGUGCAACAUCUAAAUUCCGUCUAAAAAUAUACAGAAUCUAGUUAUUUUUUAGACCUGAUUUCAACCGUCUAGACGUCUAAUAGCCGUCUAUUGCUCAGUGGGUACCCACCGUCUGGAUUCUGUAUGUCUGUAGACAGAAUUUAGACGUUGCACUGAAAACUAGACGUCUGAAAACUUUCAUUUUUAGACCUGUGGUAGCCUGAUUUUAGACCAGUCAUCUAGACUACAUUUAGACGUCUAUUAGACCUCUCCUUGACCCAAAAAUGCUCAGAGGACAACUACCUUUCAUGAUUUUCAGAUAACAAAGCCUUGGGUUUCCCUCUCUGGUACAUUAAAAUAUCAUUAUGUUAGCCUCCAUCUGAAACACCAUGUUAUAGCUGCUCAAAAAAAGGGGCAUAACUGUGCCGCUGACAGUACGAGUGGUAUGGAGACAAGCUGUGGAGAUGUGAGAACCUUUCUUAGUGCAAAGGAGCAAACACAAGUACUGAAUGGAAAAAAUGGAAAACAUUUAAGGAGAGUAAGUUUAAGACCACUUACUAAAAAACACAGAGGCUUUGGACCUGGUGUGUUCAGACUUUACAUUAUCAUGUAUCUGCAAAUGCAUCUACAAGUUGUGAUGACCACUUAUGACCAGAUCACACCCUCUUGCUGUUUAUGCAAAUAAACACAGAGCCCCAUUUGCCUUCAUUAGCAUGCAAUAAACAUCAAAUGGAAAACAAAACAAACUGGGAUGCAGACUCAUGGCAUGGGCAAGAGAAAAGCAACAAAGACAAAGGAGCGUGUGGUCAUACAAUAACUUGAUGAAGGGAAAAAGUUCAGAUCAUAAUGCUCGAUGGCCCUCGACAGUUCAGUGAAUCAUCAUAGAAGAAUGAAAACACUGCAGAGGAAAUUAUCCGUUAACAGCCAAAACGGGACUUUUUUCCUGUGUGAUCAGCAAAGAUUUAUCUUGAAAUGCCUGAAGUGACCAUGCUGCACUAUCAACUUUAGAUAGUAUAUAUCAAAGCAUCUGCAUCCUAGUUUGGUUUACCCUAAAAAACAACCCAUAUACAAAAUGAGAUGUGAUGGAGGAGAGCAAAAACCAUCAGGGGGGACUUAAUCUGGGCACUCACCAGUACGUGGAUCUGUAAAAAAGAAAAAGGGAAACAAAAUUCACCGAAGAGCAAAAUAGAAAAACAGAAAAGGAGCCAAAAUAAGAUGAAAAUGACUGCCAAUCAAAACACAGUUAAGUACACACACAGUAAAACUGGGUAAGGAGUUUUUUUAAGUAAUCCAAAAGGAUAAUAUUGCAAAGACAUGAGCUAACCUUAAACAACUUUUUUAAUUGUUAUGGUUAUACAUUAGAGAAAUUUGACCAGAACUUUCGCAAAUAUGAUCGACUAUGACUGAGAAACUUGAGAAACACAAAGGAGGCCUGAGUUCAUGAUCAUUUCUGACAGAAUAAUUAUGAAAUUGAGGUCAGUACAAAAACAGUGUCUGAAAGACUGGCGUGAGAUCUUGCUCACAGAGCUGUCAACAAAUAAAGCAAUCUGUAGUUGGCUGACUUAAUUAACAGUGAGGAUGCCUGAUCCUAAAAAUAAAGGUUGAGAUGAGUCAGUUUUAUGUACACAUGGCUGGUCCGUGAUGCACACUUCUGAAAUCUAGUGGGAUGAGUGCUUCCUUAUACAGAAUUACAGCUAAAUAUAGUUUUACAACAGAGUCAUAAAAGCUUGGCUAUGUUUGGGUCGAUCUUUUUCAAGGAUCCCAACCCGUUUUGUGCUAAUUAGCUUUUUCCAAAUUGUUCAAGCUGAUCUUUGCGAAUAGUGGCACCAUUUAUUUAAAUUUAAGGAUGUAUCCUCAUUCCUUGGCUGAGUACCAUGGAAAACACAACAUUGCUGUUUCAACAUUGAGGGACAUCUUGAUCACCCAAUCACUUCUCUUAAUGGGUUACUGAUUCAGUACUUAAGCUAUUUCAUUAUAGUGUAUGUAAAAAAAAAAAGCAAAAAAAAAACAAACAAACAAACAAACAAACAAAAAAAAAAACAAAAACAGUUGUGUCAUCAAAAAUAGUUUUAAAUAUUUCAUAAAUCAUAGUAAGAACCCAAAGAGAUGACAGCCUGAGGACUAACCCUUGAGGUACACCACAAGUGAUACUGUAAAGACACAGACGAUGUCACUGAAACAAACUGUUUUCUUUCUGUAAGCUCUCUCUCGAAAAACCAGAGUGCUGCUGACUUUUUAGCAUAAAGAUGAAAGGGUUAUGGAGAUAGUUUGUCACCUGUUAUGCAUGAAGUUUGGAUUCACAUGCCUUGGAAUGACAUGAGACUUUAUUUUAAAAUUAAGGUAUUCACAGUGUGGAGUGGGAAAUUCAGUCAAGACACAGGUUGUCUGUUUCUCAAAGGAACCAAUUCCAUGGAUAUGGAGAGAGUGGGGAGUGCUUAAUGUGUCCCAGACCAGUGUGAACAGAUGUGAACUAGACCAACUCUACACUCUGCCUGAUCAGAUCUUAAUAUGUCCUCAGGAAACAUCGAGGUGUCUACUUCUGAGCCAGUCACCAAUAAGUGAUGCAAAUACCAUUCAUGUAAACAAUACCUUAGUUAAUACACUGAGAGCUUUUUUAUUUGCAGUGCAUUCUGUAUAAACCUAAUGGUAACUUAUGGCUGAAGAUCUUUAUAACAAGAUGCAGCAGGGAACAUAUCACAGCCAAAUUGGAUUCCCUUGAUGCUUGAAUUCAGGGGUUAUGGAUUCUGAUGUAUGCAUUUAUGAGAUCUCUUCAAGAAAGUCUUCAUUUUAAACAGAGAAAAGUAAUUUCUUUAACAACUCUUUGUGCUCAUUUAUUGUGCUUUGCUAAGACUUGAUUAACUGCAGUCUCUGGGGAUGACUUUGGGUUCAUAUUAGAUGGCUGUAACUCAGUUUCCAUUGAGUGCUGUGCCUUUUGUUAAGUAUAGGUAGUUUGCUAGCUCUUCAAAUUGAUGAUUCAUUUUAUCCGAACAUCCAUCACCUGCAGUAAAACUAGCCAUGAAAAGAGGCCAGAAAAAAAGUCACAGCUCUGCAGCAGGGGAAAAAAAAAAGUGGUGGCAAGAUGCACAGUGAGAAAGCAGAUGAGAAAUGGUUGUUUGGGACUGGCACUUAAGGAAGAUACAGUCUGAUUUCUCUUUUGAUGAGGAGGAGGGCCAGAAAGAUGGAGCGAUAAAACAGGACAGAUGAAAAAUGUUAGGGAUAAAAAGCUGAUAAGCAGACAAAGGAAGAUCAAAGACAGAGGUUGACGAAAAAGGGAAGCAUGACUCAUGUCAUGCUGUCAUGAAUAAUAGGAUGAAGAAAGUCGCCUUGAAUGUUGAAAUCUGAACAAGUAUUUACUUUAUUUUCAAGGUUUUCACAUCAAAUUUAAUGACUUUCAAAGUGCCUGUCUCCUGGCAUGUGCAAAGAAAGGCAUUAUCUACACCCAUUAGGCCGGUCUCUUUUUACUUGAAUGGAGUUAAAAUUUGUCCCUUUUUGAUUUGUGUCUUCAGAUAAACAAGUAAAAAAAAAGUCACUUUAUGUUUUUGAAUACUGGCUUUUUUUCUCCAAACUAACCACUUUGGCUUUUUUAUAGACCAUAAGCAACAGUAGUAAGCCAGAUUAGAGAAGCCAAACAACUGAUUUUCAUCCCAUGCUAUUACUAAGCCAAUUUACCAUCACUGAUCUACCUCUGAAUUGUGUUUCUGAAUGAUUUACUACCACAAUCCACCAAUUGUACAAACCCCAAUUCCAAUGAAGUAAAUGUGACAAGUGAGAGUCAUGAUUGGUAUGAAAGGAGCAUCAAAUACAAACUGAGAGAAUUAAAUGAACAAGAAGAACUUUAUCAAUCCCGAAAGCGAAAUCCAAUAUUAGCAAAAUAAAAAAUACAAAAAUUUUUUUUUUCAUUUUGAACAUUUAAUCUUUUUCUUUUAGUGUGUGUAAUUGAAUAAAAGAUUAGCUAGUCAUUGUAUUCUGUUUUUUUUCCAUGUUUUACACAAUGUGCCAACUUCAUUGGGUUUGUAAACUUUCAUUUGAAUUAGUAGCUUUUUCACUCUAGCAGACAUAAAGAGCUUAUUCUGCACAGGUAUACAACAAGCUCAUCUCGUAACACAGAUAUCUUCCUCCAAAUAUAGAAUCUGUUGGCUAAGGAGUAGGCUUUCUUGGUGUCAGGCACAUUCAGAUUUCCACUUGGAAGAUUUUCAAGUAGAAUAUGAAAAGCUUUUCAAAAAAGUUUCUUCAAAAAAGUUUCUUUCUUCAAAAAUGUUUCUACUGCCUAGAAAGAUAUGAGUAAGAAACAGUUCAAAACUACUUGAGAGUAACCCAUCAACUUUAGUUUUUUUUCUAAAAGAAAAACUUUGCGAUUCGAAAGAAAAUAAAGCUAUUCCAAAUUUGAUCAAUUAUCAUUUGCCUUUGGUUUAUCUCCAGUUAACGCCUGGAAAUACUUUAAUGAUACAUGUAAAGGAUGGGUCUUUUAUUUGUGUUUAUGCCUAAGGUACCAGGACAUAUUAUAGAACAGGCUUCUAUUAAAGACAGACUUUUAUUCCAAAUUCUUUCAAUCCUAAAGAAUUAAAAUUGUUCACCUUUUUGAACAAAGUGGGGCCCUGACUCACUAAGCCUGUGCUGUGACAUGUUUUUCUUUGUUCAGUAAGUUUUGGUUUUAUUUCAACCAAAACUGUAUUGAUAAAGAUUUUUCACCGCAAAACAUUUUGUCUUUUUUGACAUGACAUUUGAACUCAUCAUGAAAACAUUAUUUUGUUAAACUUUUGUUUAAUUCUCAUUUUACCUAACUCGACAUUUGAACACUACACUGUGUUAUCAUAGGUCUUUUGUCCUGCUGAUGUCCACAUUGAUUUCAACACCAAAUUCAACACCGGAUCAUGAUUUUUAACUAAAGGAACCCUCAAGACCUGAUAGCAGACCAGGCUCAAAUGUUAUUGAUUUUUAGGGUUUGGAAAAAAUGCUUUAUCAGGGUAUUUAAUGGAUCCAGUUAUUGAUCCUCAUCCUUGGUCAUAGAUGGACUGUACUUUAAAAUGAUAAAGAGUUUCCCUCUUCACUCAGCUUAUCAUAUACCAUGAAUAGAUUCAAUUUGUUGCCAUUAGGAUGAGAGCUCACAGAGUGCUGCUCUGGGCAGGAGUGCAGAUGCUAACAGUUAGCUAUUAUCUCCGUCACAAGAAAUUGAAAUAAACUGAAGCAAACUGGAGAUGGUGCGUGAUGUAGAUAGCUACCAAACUGAUCUUUUAUUUUACAGAACAUGUGACUGGUGAUGCAUAGUCAUUAUGAACUCUCUGGAAACCUGUUUUCCGUAUUUCCAUAUUAGAAAUAUGACGCUGCCCAUUUAAAGUCUGACUUUAUUUAGUUUUACAGCUUGUGAUCAUGGUUAACAUAAGGAACCUGGUUGCAGACACAUUACUGGUCUUUAUAGUUUGGAUUUUGUUCCUUAUUUAUGAGUUGGACAAUUGAUAUCUGGAUACUUCCUGGCUAAUCUAGACGACUUGAAGGAUCAGUCCUUGCCCGCGGCACAGACUAUGCCUCAUUACUAUCAUUCUAGUAACAAUAACACAGAGGCAGUGAUGGAAUAAGUGAUAUUUAGUGAUAUUGUGUCAUACAAUCACUCCUGCUCCAUUUUUCACAGUCUUUGAUAAAGCAGAAAUGUACUCUAAGUUUCAGUGAGGUACAGUUGCACCUGGUAAAAUCCCUGCUUUGUGGGCUGUUCCUUCACUGUCAAGUGGGUGAAUGAACGUCAGCCGUAUAAAUGAAAUGCAUUGCAUCAGGCUGUUGAGAGGGAAAUGGAAGAAUUGCCACUGUCCCUGCCCACCAAGCCAGCCAUCUGUUCUGAAUGCUUCCUUUUGGCACAGUGUGUCAGCAUAUUAAAUUGGAGGCAACUUUUCCCACCCUGAAGGUGGUAACCUGUUAUGCAGCCAACCAGCUCCUGUACAGCCUCACAUGCCCUACUGCAACUCUCAUAUAAAAAGAGCUGUUUGCAUCCCUACUAUAAUAUACAAUCGAACCAUGUUGUAAAAACACAGUGCACUGUUUUAGAUCUGAGAAAUCCUUUAUUAGCUCAAACCAGUAAUUCAUUUGAAACACCCAAUUCUUUCAAGAAUAUCUCACAGGACCAAUCUCCUGAGACAAUUUGCCCUUUAAGCAUUGAAACUACAGUAUCCCAGCUGCUUGUCUGAACAGUAAAAAGGUGAAUUACUUUUAAUUGACCAUCCCCUUUUUUUUUUACUACAGCUGCUACUGUGCUUGUUUGUUGCACAGUACACAGGGACAAAUGCACAGUAAAAAAGACUAAAAAGCUGUGCAUGGCAGUCAUUCAUGCCUCGUAUGUGGAUUUCCUGUCCUCGUGAUUAAAAUACACUGUCAACAAUCUCUCUUUGGAAAAUAUACAGUCAAAAUGAGAAGCUUACACAUUUGAAGGUGUUUUAAAGCAUGCCUUUUGACCCUUCACAUGUCAAAAGAAGCCAUGAGGUAGUUUGGGCGUUGAAUACGAAUGCCUCCCAGAUACCUCCCUUUGGGACUUUUCUGGGCAUGUACAACUGUGGGGAGACCCCAAGACUGACCCAGAACUCCCUUUAGGGAUUAUAGAGUAGGUAUGAUCCACUGCCUAAGAUUUCAGUGGUGGGCUGGAAAAUUGGGUCAGGAAGAAGAACAUCUUUAAUUUGAAGAUUUGCAAGUGGAAAAUAGCAAACAUAAAUGUGAAAGUCAUUUAUUUUAAAAACAUUGACCUGACUCUCUAACUUACAUUUUGUAAAUACUUCAACAUUUCAAAAGAUUUCCUAUUAUGAUAAAACUGAAAAUUCAUUGGUGGACCAGUGUCCCACCCCUGCACCGGAAUUAUAGGUAGUUACAGAGGCAAUACAAGACAAGAUGGUACUCUUAUAACCUUGAAGAGCUAGUGGGAUGGAAUGGGUUUAUAUAGUAUGCCUCUUGUGCUUCAACAACCCCAUAACCCCAUGUGAAAACCACAUACUGGGACACCAAUAUAAUACCAGUGAGGCAUCAAAAGUACAAGGACAGCAGAGUUUUAUUAUGAGAGCCACUGAAAUAAAGGCCACAUAAGUACAUUUUACUACAGCUUCAGAAACCUUCUUUGUGGGUUUUAAAACUUGGACACUGAACAGGGCAUUUUCAGAGGCAACUUUAUAGAGACAAGACCUGUAGUCCCACUGUAACAACCUUGUUUCUGUCCUCUGCUUCUUCUUUUGUCACUUUUGAAAAUAUUUUUUUUUCCAGAGUGGUUUCUCACAAGGACCACUUCAGAAGUGUCUGGUAGCAGGUGUAUCAAGGAAAUUCUCAAAUGUAUGAUUUCUCAGCUCGAGAGUUAUGCACAUAACCCCAACAUCAGACCUUGGAGACAAACAGUGAUAAUACAAUAAUUCUAUUUUGGGAAUAUUUUUAUUUUUUUCUGCAAUCCUAAAAUCACAGACAUCUUUAACUUAACUGUUAUCUCAAAUGCAUCUUAACUUCAACAGCUUUAGCAAAUGACAAAGACUUAUGACAUAAAAAUCCAAUUGUUGCUCUCCCACUUUAGUCAAAUGAAUAGAAACAUUAGCUUUUGUACAAAUGUUUUCAACGAGACAAUGACCUUUGUAUUGCCACUAACCCUGCCUAAUUACAUGCAUUCACAGGUUGGGUCCAUACUUGAGUUUCUAAUCUUGUGGACAAGCUAUUACCCAAUGUGUCAAAAAAAACCCUUAUCUGCAUAAGUUCCAAGCUGCAGCUUUUAAGCCGACAGGACAAAAUACUUUUCAGAGACAAUGCUGUCAAAAGAGAGAGAAAAAACAAAUGAAAAACCAGAGUCUCCAAAAGAUUUGAUAAUUAUCCUCAAACCAGCGUCAUCAAUGGCAUUUUGUUGUUAUUCAUAUUAUUUUAAUAUUCAGAUUUAUAAUGUGCAAGUGCACACAUGAUGCUCAUCGCUAAUGCUGUCCGUAUUUCGUCAAGUCAGAGCAUAUUCUCGUGUGACACUUGGCUUGUAAAAUAGAGUCUGGGCUGUCUCGAUGCAAAAAGCAAAAAUCACUCAGGUUCAAUAUUGUCUGUCACUCUCUCUGGCUGAAGAUGAAUAGGCGACAUUGCGCUGUUGAUAAUUAGUGGUGCAAGUCUACAUCAAUUUUGUCUGAACUUGCAGCUGCAGACGCAAGAAAUGAAAAGUCAGGAUGCUGUUAUUUCUCAAAUUCUUUUAGCUCAGUCUGCGGUCACAUAAUUUGAUGGUCGUAACUGCCUCUCAGAUAGUUUACUAUUGUUCUGUCUGAACAAUGAUGGGAGCUGGAGAUGACAUCCUACACUUGCAGGUAUGAUAUCUGACAAAUAAAGCUGUGGAUAAGUUUUGAGGAAGAGCUGUUUUCAAAGCAGACAGUUUGUCUUGACAGAGAAGAAAAGAGGUGUAACUUCAAGACUGUAUAAUGAAGAGCUGUGACAGUAUGACAUUGAGCCAGUGCACACACAGACGCAUGACCAUGAAAUGUAAGAAGCUAUAGUAAACAGUAUUCAACAACCAAGAGUUCAUCAUGUAUUUUUUUCUCAACUGUAAGAUGUGAAAAGGAAGUAUUUUAUGGCCCUUUUGUGCCCCUGUCGUAUCAGUCUGUCUGUACGCUGCUGUGUUGUUUUCACCUGCUGUGAUGACGUGUGUUCCUUAGUCAUUCAGUGUUGCUGGUAGGGGUGCCGCAUCGGGGUGUCAAACAAACCAAAUAAAUCCCAAUAUAACGUCAAAGUACCACAGAUACAGAAUAAAAAACCCGGGUCGCAAAAUUAAUGUGUAUUACAUGACUGACAGUAAAAAAAAAAACAGCUUUUUUAUCGUGGUUUUUAGGAUGACAUUGUUCACAAAAUUCACAGUAAUUACAAAAUGAACAUAAAUCUGAUGAAAACAGUGCAAUACUUAAUUUUCUUUGAUUGUUCAGUGGUAACCAUGUUAUAUUUGGGCAUUGUUAUUACCAUUUAUAAGAUUUCUUUUCUUUAUUUGGGAGACAUUUCUGUCACACUCAGUUUCAUCCUGUCAGAUGGGUUGGCCUGUUUUGAAACACAGAUUUAGUAAAAAAAAAAAAAAGUUCAAAGCCAUCACUCCAAACAUCAUGUUAAGUAAAUGACAGGCUGUGGAUGUUGUGUUAACCAUAUGAUUGCCUUCAUUGUGACUGGAAAAAGGGUUCGAUACUGGUGUUGACACAAGAGUUGUUCAUGGUGUCUCAUCACGAAAUUACACAAGCAACAGAUGAACAUGACGACUCUCUACAGUGUGGUUACACUUUCUAUGAAGCUCCUUUACCAAGCAUUAAUUACACUUAAUAAGCCACCUAUGAGACCUGAUAAAGUGUAAAUAUUGCAAGUGUUAAAAAACAACUCAGACAUUUAUUAUUGUGUAUAAGUCACUGAUAGGAUCUUAUUACAAACUUGUUAGCAAUUUAUAUACCUGUCAUUAACAUCAGUAGGAUGUUUAUGAACAUUAAUUGGACUUCAUUAGAAUUUAUAUACGAUUUAUUAAUAUAUUUGUUAUAAGCCUGAAAACAUAGCACUAAUGAUUUAAAUAUAACAUUCUGUUAUUUGUGUUCUGCAAGUUUGUUACAGACUUAAUUAAUAAGUUUUACUAAACAUGGGAAGUUUGGGGCCAAAAAACAGACUUUCAGUAAAGCGUAUUUUUAGGCCUGCUCAGGAUGGGGGUCUGGAUCUUCCAGUAUUCAAGGAUUUUUUUGGGCUGUUAAUGUAAGGGCAAUGGUGCAUUAGCAGUGGGGUUCCCCAAAUCAUGAAUCAUUUAGUUCUUCCCCCUUUAACUUAAACUGGGGCUUUUGUCCUUAAUUUUCAGAGCAGCUUCCCCCUUCACCAGGAGGAACAAAGCUCAUCACCAGAUUUGUAAUUCUUUUCCCCUGGAAAGUCAUCGGUUGGCUGUAUUAAGAAGGUCUGGGAAAGGGAAAGCCACUCUGUUCUGCCUGAUAAAGCAUGGAGAACUGUGUUGUAUUCACAGUUGUUCAAUAAACAGCAGACAUACUAGUUAAGUCAGUUUUACCUCCACUAAUUAAAUUCAGUGGGUUUACAGUUUAUCGUUAUUUCCUCCUGUGUUGUCCAAUAGUCAAUAUCAGUCAAUCAGAUAAUCAAGCGAACAAACGGCCCCAAGCUGUGCAACAGUGUUAGCAUGGUGGCACCAGGAUUCCAGGCUACAUGACAACUGGUUAGACAAACAUUUGUGAAGAUCGCUUAUUGUGAAUUAAACAUGAUUAAUGCUAAGGCUUCAAUUAAAAGAAAUGUUUACCAUUUUAUAUUUACAAUAUAUACCAUUCAUAUUAAGCUGUGUUUGUAAUAAAGUAAAAAAUAUAUAUAUAUAUAGUCUGACUACCUGAGCAAAAUACUGGAUUUAACUGCUGCAGGGAUCAUUUUUGGAAACACAAACGCAAUAAUUUAAGAUAUGUGACACAACUUUCCUACCUCUGCUAUUUACAUUUUGGAUAGAGGAGUAAAGGCACUGGCUUUGACCCCAAGAUGCAAUUUAUCGUUCCAACAAUAAAAACAAAAACUUUUAUUCAUUUGUGAAUAUAUAACCCGCCUGCAUCUAAAAAUUUGAAUCUUUUCGUAUUUGCAUGAAAACUCAACUCUGACCGAUCCUAACUCUGCAAGAUAUGCCACUUUCUAAUUCUUCUCUCUGUCUUUCACCAAUGUGUUGCUGCCACAUCCCUUCUCUUCUCCUCCUCCCCCUCCUAUCAUCUCCCAUCCUGACUGUCCACCAUGAAAAUGCCAACGCGACUCAGUUGACAUGCUGACUGCACAAGGGCGUACGCCUCCUUUUUUUCUGUCCUGCAGCAUCUUUGUCUGUCCUCGUGUGUCUUCAUGGUCCCGCGCUGCUGUAUUUCCAUCUACAUGUCCAUCUUUUUUUUUUUCUCUUGACUCAGCAGUUCGAUCAAUCAAUAAAUCAAUCAAUCUUCAUUUAAAUAGCACCAAUUCGCAACAAACGUGGACACCAGACGUAAAGAUAAAGAUCCCAUCUGUAAGAUCAGGCCCACUCCCAUCCCGUCUUUAUCUACCAUGAGUAUAACACUUAAAAACAUUUAACAAGUUACAGAAGAGAGGAAAAACUUUCUUUAACAGGCAGAAACAGACUCAUGUUAGAAAGUAGGAAUUGCAUGAUAAUGAUAACAGACUGAUCUUGGUUUAAUCUUGGAAUUCAUAAACACUGCACAGGGUGAUGAGCACGAUCUUCUGUUUCAUUUCCUUUUAUUAAAAAAAAACGUCAUCAUAAUGUUUCCUCAUCCUGCAGAUUCCUUUAAAAUCACUGUUUCCAUUAAGUCACUGAAAUAAAUUAUAUGCCCCGGAAGCACAGGGCUGUUACACUGCCGGCUUUAUGAUGUGAAAACAGCUCUAUUCCUGCUCUUAAGCACUAUGAAAGGUUACGCAGGGACAGGCCGUAGAUCUAAGAAUAUGUCAACACUAUUAGUGCAUGAGGUUAAUUGUGUAGGUGUGUGAGUGCGUGUACGUGCCGUGGAGAAGAGCCAAUGUAGUUGGCAAGAUUGUGUUCAGUGUCAGCUUUUAUUGGAAAUCAUGCAGUGUGGAGAAAGCGCUGCCUUUAGUAGCUCUUAUUAAUUGAGGGUGUAAAAUACUAUCUUGAGCGGCUGCUGUGCGUAAGUCUUUUGCACUCCUUUUUAUGGCUGCAUAAAAUGUGGCUUUGCGGUGUGUGCAUAUGCAUGUGUAUUUUAGACAUACAUGAGCGGUUGCCAAAACCUAUUUGAUUAAUCGACCCUUUUUAUUUAAUUCAAAGACAAACUGACAGUUUCAGACAAUUCUACUAAAUGCUGUGUGCACAAGCCAAUGAAUACAGAGUACAAGGUAUGUUUAUGGUGAUCUAUAUAUUAGCAAUGCAGUAACACCCCAAAUGAAAAGUGAGUCCUUAAAGAGGAGCUCUAUUGAUGUAAAAUGCAUGUAAAUUAUGGUUGCUGAAUAAAUUCAGAGAGUAAAUAACAGCAACUUUUAAUCUAUUUACUCACAUACAAUCACGCAGAUUGUUGUGGCACCAUCAGGCCAGUGUGUAAACAGCAAAAUGCCUGAGUUGAUUAAAAUGUACUUUCCUUCCUGGAGCUUUGAAAUGAGAACCAACCUCGGUAAACCUCGACAUGCAACUCAAAAAACCCUGACCAUGUUAUUUAACCUUGAAGGGAGGGAGAGACAGAGCAAAAAUAAAACAUGGCUUCAUUUUUUAUUGUGCUCCACAUUUUUAAAUGGGGGAUUUUACUGUAUUUCAGCCAGCCUUGAGAUAUGAUUGCAGAAUGUCUCUUAAACUUGUUUUAGGAGGGAAUGCAGCUGUCCCCUGCAGGUGCUGAGAUAGACUUCUCAUUAAAAACAUCAUGACAUGCGCCAUUUGUAUCAUAUAUUAAUAAAUUUCUAAGUAGAAAGUAAAACUAUUAACUGUGUAGCCCUUACCGCUGAACUAAGACAGUGAGGUAUUAUUGAUCAUUGUGCGUAUACCAUUAGGCUCUGAGGUUACCAUAAUGCUUCAAAUUUAAGAAAACAUGAAUUAAGAAAUUUUGACACGUCUCCAGGGUGAACAGCAGUACUAAAAUCAAGGUAAAGGGAUCUAUGUAGGGCUGGGCGAUAUGGCCUCAAAUCAAUAUCACGAUAUAUUGAGCAGUUCACCUCAAUAACGAAUAACGUAUGAUAACUACUCCACAAGCUGCUCACCCCCUCCUACAUUAACUAACUUUUAUUUAUCUAUUUUUUGACACCGAAUAUAUUGACAUGGGCAAAAUGACGUCAGAUGUUGUGGUAAAUUUUGGUAUCGGUAAAUUUUUGGUUUAUCGCCCAGCCCUAGCUCAAGGAUAUAAUUAUUAUUGUUCCCGAGGGACAUUUUUUUACAGCCAUACAGCUCUAUUUGAAACCACAUAUUUUGACAUGGGCAAAAUGAUGUCAGAUGUUGUGGUAAAUUUUGGUAUCAGUUAAUUUUGGUAUAUCGCUCAGCCUUAGCUCAAGGACAUAAUUAUUAUUAUUAUAAGGGGCAUUUUUUUUACAGCUAUACAGCUACAUCUAAAAAAAAUAGAAAAGAAUACCAAGAAAAUAAGUCCUGACAUAUCCUCUUAAAGCAUGCAUAUAUAUGUGUGUGUGUGUGUCACACAGGAACAAGAUGAGAUCAAAUGUAACAUGAGAUUACAUCAGUGACAGGCAGCGUGUGAAGAUGAAGGUAAUAAAUCAGUGUGAAGAGCUGGAGUGGGAAACAUUUACUGAGGAAAUACAGAACAUGGAAGUUCAUGUUCAGCAAGUGAUGAUAAGACUGUUGUGUAGCAGCGCAGUGAGUGUUGUCUUUCUACUUACUCUGUGUGUGUGUGUGUGUGUGUGUGUGUGUGUGUGUGUGUGUGUGUGUGUGUGUGUGUGUGUGUGUGUGUGUGUGUGUGUGUGUGUGUGUGUGUGUGUGUGUGUGUGUGUGUGUGUGCGUGUUUGUGUUCAAGGGUGGUAGAGAGUUGGGGACAGGGAGCCAGAGGGACAUAAGAAGGCUGUUUGAUGUCAUCACCAUGUGUCCUCUCUGGUUACCCUUGGCUCUAAUCUAUGGUGAGCUGCUGUCUAAGUCCCUCAUUAGUUACUAGUAACUCUCUUUAGUCUAACAUCAACCUCCAGAGGCAAGGUUGACUCGUGGACUGAAUAUCACUGAGAGCAGACUGGUGCUGAAGAUUAAUUGUCAGAAAUAUCAUCCCCGCAAAGAAAGAUCGUGACGGUGGUUAAUGUGGAUUUCUCUUCAGUGUGUGUUACAUUUCACAUCACAUAUUGAUGUGUGUCACAGUGUACUGGAGGCGUUCUGCUCCUCUUUACAGCGGUAGAAAUGUUAAAAAGGGAUAUUUACCUCACCACAUUAUCCUGCAGUAAAAAGAAAAGAUUGCAUAAACACUAUCAAUGAUUCUCUUUGAAGAAUCGAUAGCUUUAUUUUUUUGCGAGGUUAAAAGGCCUUUUUUUUGGUAAUGUUUUCUAAUAGAAUUGUCGAGGCCCAACAAACUGAGAUUACUGACCUUAAAUCUUGCGAGGUCACAACCUACUCCUGUAAACUGCUGUUUCUGUGUACCAGAGGGCUGUGUAAUCAGGCGCAAGUCAAGUGGGAUUUGACCUGCCAACCUGCCAGAUGAAAGCUGUUCCUUCAACAGAAUAGAGGUGCACAACGAGGUCACCUUUUCCCAAUGUGCACACGCGCCCUUUGUUGUGGAAAGCACAGAAGCUUGCAUGGAUAGGAAUAACAUACUUGCAUGUUUAUGAGCUAUCUUUGUACGCUUUUGCUUUAAGAAACCUGGAAUAGUACAUGGGAAAUCCCCUCUGUCUUUUACAUGCACGGAAAUGCACAUACAUGCCGUAACGGCCUUUUUCAUGGCAGUGGAGAUCAGCUGCAAUGACCUUGUGCCAGCAAAUGGGUAUUUUUGCUGCUAGCAGAUUUCCUUCUGCUCUUGUGGGCUUUAAGUGGUAUUGCCUUUGCCAGAAUUUGUGAGUAGUAUACAAAAAAAAAAGGUCUGUCCAUUAAAAAUACAAUGCUAAGUGAAAGUGUUUUUGGAAUCCAACACUACACAUUAAAAUAGGGCUUAAAAUUCAGACCCACACAAACCGGUUAAAGUUCAAAACGAAGGACAGAUGCAAUCCUCUGAGCAAUAGACGGCUAUUAGAUGUCUGUUUUUUUAGACCUUAUUUCAACCGUCUAGAUUCUGUAUAUUUUUAAAUGGAAUUUAGACGUUGCACUUUAACCCCCUAUUCGAUAACUAUUUAUUUCAAAAAGUAGUUAUGAGUUGUAUAACUGAUCUCCAAGUACUUAACCAAAAUUAUUAUGAUAGCCAUUGAGCAAUAUACAGUGUAGUACAGAUAUAGCCCAGAUUUAGACUUGGUCUAAACUUGGUCUUAAUAUAGACGUCGAAAAAACUUUCAUUUUUAGACCUGUGGUAGCCUGAUCUUUAGACCAUUUGUCUAGGCUACAUUUAGACAUCUAUUAGACCUCUUUUAGACCAAAAAAUGCUCGGUGGCUUCUUAUUUCAAUGCUAGUCCCUCUGAGCAUUUUUUGGUCAACAAGAGGUCUAAUAGAUGUCUAAAUGAAGUCUAGAUGACUGGUCUAAAAUCAGGCUACCACAGGUCUAAAAAUGAAGGUUUUUUAGAUGUCUAAAUUUGGACCAAGUUUAGACUAGCUGGCUGACAGAGGUCUUACUGUAAAUUGCUCAACAGCUAUAAUAAUUAUUUUUAGGUAAGUACUUGGAGAUCAGUUAUGCAACUCACAGUUGCUUUUUGAAAUAAAUAGUUAUCGAAUAAUAGGUUAAAGUGCAACGUCUAAAUUCCGUCUAAAAAUAUACAGAAUCUAGAUGGUGUAAAUUAGAUCUAAAAAACAACUAGACGUCUAAUAGCCGUCUAUUGCUCAGUGGGGUCUUUAUAGCUUUGAAGUAAUUCCCAAACAAAGAAUUAUUCUCCUUAAAAUUUCACAAACUAUCACCAAAGUGUUGAGCAAUGAUCGAUCGUAUUCCGCCGGCAUAUUUACCUUAAAGCACACUAACAGUGUGUUCUGGUGGGGAGCAUUACUUUGUUUGUUUACAUAAUAACUCCACAGGGUACCUUUAAAUUACUGUGUGCUGACUCACUCUAAGGGGAAUCUGUGCUGGCCUCUCCUCUAUAUUACAAAUCUGUUGGUCCAGCAAGGUGUGCACUGCAUUUAAAAAGGGAUGAAAGUGUAGUUGAUCUGAUUGGCCCUGACUGAUGCCAGCUGCUAUCACACGUGCUGAUAAUUUAAUCCUCUUAAUCCAACCACUUCCACAACAGUGCUGCAGGUGCUCCGGUCAUGGAAAUCUGUUGGUCACACACAAGGGAACUGAUGCCACCUCCUGCACUUUGAGUGAUAAAAAACAAGGGCUGAGCUUGUGUGUACUAAAUUUUCAUACAAGAAAAAAAACGAGGGAAACACAGGCGUACCACGAGGGCAUAGAGAAGUGGCAGUAACACAAAGGCAACAUUUUUAGACAUCCAAUCAGGGACAUGUAACACCAGCUCAUGAGCAAAUACGACCAUGAAUGGACCAAAGUCUCCAUUACAAAGCACUCUUAACAGCAUAUCCUUACCAGCACACUGUGUCUUGACAGAAAAUGUAUAUGUGCCGCAGGAAAUAGCGUCCCCUCUAAAGCCUAAUGCAAGGUGAGAUGGAGGGGGGAGUUGAUGCUGUCCAGUGGAAAUGCAGCAGAGGACAAAAGUGCACUAGCCGGGGUCCUGCUGCUAGAAAAUCCCCCGGCUGACACAGUAUAAAGUCCAUGUCAAAGUUGGAUAUGAGCUUCUGAGAUCACGGGGCUGUAUAUAAUUACAAACUGUGGAAAAGUCAAUAAAAAAAUGGCAGGUUUCCUCACUCUCCACUCUAUCUUCGAGACCAAGGGUGAGAGAGUCACUGCGGCAUUCAGGUCAAUUUAAAGCUAGCACCUACGGGUCAGUUUUUGUGUGAAUUGUUGAGGUAGGUUUUGUUUUCAGAUAUCAAGUAAAUCACCGUGCAAAUAAUAGAGUUUACAAUGACGCUAACUUAACCCUUUGUUUCCAAUGAGGAGGUCUAUUACCAUGCAUUUAUAGUAAUUCCAAGAUGCUAAAGAACCCAUAUUUCAAGUAGUAAGAGUCAUAUUUGGAUUCUGCCAUUAUCAUAUGAAAACAAACUUUCCGGUCUUCUUCUAUGCUGCAAAAUUGUAAAUCAGCGUUACUUAGAAUUAUCUCCACCUGCUGUUAAGGAGUGUAGAGGACAUAGAGGACAGUCCGCUGCAUAAAUAGUGCCCUUCAAAAUAAAAGCACAGGCUUUAAUUUCUUUACUCUUGUUUUACUCUAAAAACAGACCACUGUCCUAAAGGUUAUCAGUGGUAACGCACAGGAACGUAAGGGCUCAAUCCCAAACCGCCCCCUAAACAAUCAAUCAAUCAAUCUUUAUUUCUAUAGCACAUUUAAAAGAACCACAAGGGUAGCCAAAGUGCUGUACAGUGACACAUAAAAACAAAUAAAACAAUCAAAGAACAAGAUAAAGCAAGCAGAAAUACAGUAAUGCAAAAGAAUAAAUAAGUGUAUAAAUAAGGAGGCUCACGGCAAGUGCUAAGAUGAUAAAAAACAAAUUAACACUACAAUGUACUAAAAGCCAAUGAGUAAAAGUGCGUUUUUUAAACACUCGCCCUAUACACUCUCCCUCCGUUUGGGCAUCCCCGUGGAGGCUCCGCCAUAUUGAAGGCCGUCCCAAACCACAGAGUGAGGAGGGCAAGUGGACUGUUCAGCCCUCAAAUAGCGAGUCUGCACCGAUGCUCACUCACGGCAGGAUUUGCAGGUAGUGCGCUGGCAAAAAUGGAAGAGGAGGAAACAACAUACAAAUAUAACAAAUUAAGAUCCCUGCCACCAAACCCCGCCUCUCACUGGAAAAAAGCCUCAGCAUCAGACUUUUAAUGUGCAGUCGUAGAGAGUCACUACAACAAAACAACCUUCUACCCAACAAUGCGCCUACUAGUACAGACACAGCCCAUGAUGACUGUUUCCAGACUGUGAGGAUGCACACGGCCUUGAGAGACCCAUUUCCAGACCUGCAACAGCUAAUUAAGCAUGAAAAGAUAAAACCACAUUAUUUGUCAAACAAGCAUGCCUGCAGAGAUGCAUGCUGAUUUCAGCGCUGUUGUCUUUCAGCUCAGGCCAACAGAUGGAGUUUGAAAUAUGCAAGAAGUCACUGAAGACACCUCCCCUCGUAAAUUAUGUAAAGUCUUUAUUUGUCAGCAGCACUAAGGUCACUAUAUUGUAAUAUUGCAAGACUGAGUACAACCAAAGGGCUUCUUUGCAAGAGUGAUGUGUGAGUUAGCUGAACAAGGAUGAUCACUAAACACGAUCAUUAUUUUCUAUUAAACAAAAUGAAACUUUCGUUACAAUUAUUGGUACAAUGUCAAAAAUUGUAAUAAUAUUGUAAUAAAGCAGGAAAGAUACCGUGUAUGCAAAGGUGGAAUGAUGAUUUGAUAGUAUGCUAAAGUGAUGGAGUAAACUGUUGUUCUGGAAAACCUGGAUGCAGCCAAAGCCUAUGCAUUUCAAGUGCCAGUCCUGGAGCUAGAUGGCCUGAUAGAUCGUAAUUCCCAGUUUGGUCCUGUUUGCGCUUUAGCAGUGUCAUGUUUUGUUUUGUUUUUCACUGGUGUCUGUCCUGCUGAACCUGCUGAUCUUUUCUGCUGCUUGUCGUACCUUGGCCUGUCAUGUAUGCACAUAAAUUACUUGUGAGAGAUGGAUUGCUUAGCUUUUUUGACCCCAGUAACUAUAGAAAUACUUGUAAAGUGAUCUUAAUGACAUAAUGUAAUGUCAUAAUGAUAAUAAUAAAAAGUUAACAGUAAUAAUAUAAAAAGUUAUAAUCAAAACAUUCUUACAAAUUUUCAGUGUAGCCCUGCUCUAAGCCUUUCACUCUCCUGUUCUCCAUUUCUUCCUAAUGAAUAUGCAAAGUCCUCAAACCAGGGAUCUGCAAUAUUUCAACAACAUGUACACCCACUCUCUUUACUUGUCUCCCUCACCCCCCUACCCCCCAACACACACACACACACACACACACACACACACACACACACACACACACACACACACACACACACACACACACACACACACACACGGAGUCAGUAAAGCAUGGAGACAAGGUCUAUUCUGACUGUGGUCAAAUGAGUCACCUGGGAAUCAGAUGGCAUUAAUCCUGCUGUCAAUACAGGACAGCUGAGCAAUUCAUCCUGCCCACCCGCGAGGGGAGGGUGUCACUGUGCCUGUUUGCACGUGCAGCUUGUGUGUAAAAUAGAGAUUGCAUUUAUUUGUGCACAGGCAGCGGCUGGUUAGUAAGAUGGAAAUACGGGUGCCUGUUUCUGGCAGUAAUAAAAUCUGAUGAAUUUCACCCACCAAACAACUUCAUGUGCAUAAAUACAUUUUGUUUAGAAAAUCCUGUACAUGAUUGGUGUUUCAUUAAAUUAUUUAAAUCUUUUGUCACUUCCAUGGUUUCUUCGACUUACAAGUUUGUACAGUAAGGUGACAAUACAUUAAUUUCCCGUUGCUUUUGACAUACUGUAUUUGCUUCCUCUGGCUUUUUUACCAUUUAGAAUAUUCUACAUUACAUGCUGUAGUCGUACUACAUUCAUGCAACAAUGACAGAGGCUGCUGUUAGGCACCCGUCUGUACUAACCGCCACUGUGGGCGUCGUCACCAGGGGCAGUUUUAGGGUUACGUUUUUUUUUCACCAGGACACUUUGGCAUAUCAGACAGCAGGACCUGGGAUCAAACCCCAGACCUUACAGAGAAAAUUCUUCUUGCCGCCUGUUGAUUUUGACAGAUACAUCUUUCACAACUCCAGCACUUUCCAGAAACAGAACCCCCCUGGACGUAUUUCUGCAUGUAUGUUUUUAUCUUUAACAAAUGCUAAGAUCCCACGCAAACAAAGAGUCUUCUCUGUAUUGCAGAUUUUAUUGACACACCAAAACAAGGAUAGGAGGUGGAGAGGAUGCUACUGCUUCACAGAUCUUAUUCCUUCCUAUCCUCACAGUCUCUCAGAGGCAAGUCUGAGCUAUAGGUGAUGCCCCUGGUCAUGUUCUCCUAUGCCUGGUUUUCUCAGGUUUUCUUAUUUUUCAAACAAAGACGGGCCAUCCUGCUGGGCAUUCUCCUGUUUGCCCAUGUGUCUCUGCGUCUGUUCUCUCUGCCAACUUCAUCUCGAUUUCAUGCUCCUCUACAAUCUCCCAUGUGCUUCAUUCCCAUUACAGGAGUCUCUCUGCCAUGUGUGACUAAUGACAUUGGUUCACUGAGCAUAUGUGUGGGUUUGUUUUGCUUUCUUUAAUGCCUUCGCUGGCAUGUUCAGGUUACCAAACCAUUUGUUUUGGAGCAUGAUAUGAGGUGAGUCAAUCCUUGCUUUAUGCAAUAGCUAUAGACUGUAUAAAACAUCAAAGUGGUCUCAGUGAUAUCAUCCACUGGUUGUCAAGAUUUCUAAUAGAAGUCCUCAUAUUGGGAAAGCUGAUUCAACCUGACUUCUGCUUGAGGCAAUGGGAUGGAGUUGACAUGAGACUUUGGCAUUAUUGCUCACAGUAAUACUCUGUUUGUUUACAUUAACAGUCAAAUUGAGCUGCAGUUAUAGCUUGAUUAGGCAAUUUGGCUGAACAACUGUUCUUUUCCCAGCUUACAAGCACUGUGCAAGACUUAAAAAAGCAUGUCUGCCUCUGCUACGAUAGGUGGCAACAUGCCUCCUUUCAGCUUGUUGGUGUAUUACUCACCAAAACACGCUAGCAAGAGGCUAGCAAGAUGUGCAUGAAAUGAUGACCACACUUGUCUAACUUUGAAAAGUUUAAACUUUUUAUAUCUUUUCUUCAUCUGUCAGUGUUUUAUUUCUGACCAGACAUCCUUGUAUUGCAUCUAUGCAUUUAACUUCGGUGUACGAACACGGGGUAUGUGCAGAAUGCUAAGGCCAGUUUCAGUUUGAUAAAGCUAAAUACAUGACAGACAAAAUCAAUCCCAAGCGGUAGUGUCCAUCGAUUUUGGUGCGACUGUGAGAAGUUUCAGUCAGACUAAUUGGUUUACACGAUAUUUAAAAGUCCAGUUUCAGUCUGAGUAUUGCAAUAAAUCAAUUUUCUUGAACUGCAUGUGAACGUACUCUGUCCUCUCUUGUCAAGUAGGUCAGCCAAGCCCCUAACUGUGCGAAUCUUAUAACCAUGUUAUUUUCAGAAUUAACAAGUUGUAAAGAAUAAUUUAAAAAUAAAUAAAUAAAAAUCUUAUGUUAGUAUAUUUGAACCCCAGCUGUUUUUUUUAAAUGGUAAUUUUUGCUGUAAAAACCCCUAGUGGAAACUUUAAGAACUGCAGUUUUCAGCAACUCCACAUUCGCCUCAUGUCUCAUUGCUGUGCUGUGACCUGUAUUGUGUCCACUGAAUAUUUUAGACACGUAUUAUGACAUUUUAAACAGCAGUGUGUUUAAGCACGCUUGGUCAAGAGUUUCAUAGCCCACUAACUCUUGGCUCAACUCUCAUCACUGGCAGCACAUAACAACUCUGUGCUUUGUCAUAAUCCCUGCACUGGAUCAUGAGACAAUGUUUUAGAAAGGCUGCUAAAUAAUAACAAAAAAGGGAAAUCAUCAUCUGAAAUUAAAAUUGUGAGGGAAAGACGAUUUAUCCAAUGCCUCAGUCAAAUUAGGAUGGCACAUUAUUUGACAUUUGGGUGGUUGAAAGUAUUUUAAAUCACUGCUGUUUCUGACUGAUGGAUCAAAUGUAUGUAUGCAUUAGAUUCAAGGUUGUUUUGAAAUCUUUGAGAACUGAGUGGCAUUAAAGAGCCUAAGAGCUUUUUCAUCGAUGUUUACACGUCACACUACCACAAAAACAAAGAUCUGAGUAUACACUCAAUAGCUGAUAAUUACAGUGUAAUCACAGCGCUGUGUCACAAACCAAAGUGAUCUGAUACCCUCUUAGCUGUCUUAGUCAUGGCUUUAAUGCUGCUGUGCCAUGCGCCUUUAGAGUUAUGUAUUUAGUGUAAGUAAUGUGCUGCUUGACACAAGAAUGGAUAGCAAAAGAACUCAAUGUCAAUGGUGGGUGCUGGCCGGGAAGUGUUUUUUCAUCGCUCGCUGUCAAAACAGAAGUGUUUGGCCAUGCAUCUCUCUGUGACUCAAUGCAGCAUAUCACUCAGCACUGUAAACACAUACACCAGCAGACCUACACACACACAAACACACACUUCAGAAUGCAAGCAAACCCAUGCAGCCUCCUUCAGGUGAAAGCAUUAUAUUCAGUGCCACUCAUCGCGUCAAUAAGUGUUGCAGUGAAUACCGAGCAGACAGAGAGGAUCUUAUGUCAGCAGACGAAAACACAGAGGGAGAGAGGACAACAAAGCUAUAAUUAGAGAAAUAGGAAAGGCACACAGAGAUGUGUGGACAAGAAUUAAAUAGAUUCAAGUAGAAUGACCUGGCAAGGUGUCAUUGUAACAAGGCUAGAAUUAAACGACUGCUGCAAUUAAGCUACCCAUGUGUUUAAGAGAAACUUCAAUCCACUUUAAGGCAUUUCUACCACAUGAUGUCUCCUCUGCUCUCCUUUCACUCAGCCCCAAAUGGUCUUUUCCAGCUGUACCCCCACUGCUGAAUCUUCUAACAUCCUUCAGCAUGCAAAGAAAAAACACACAUACACUCUAUCUCCACUGAGAUAUAGAGAGAACAGAGAUAUAGUCGUCUCACAGAUGUCUGUGUGACACACAGAUGGUUACGCAAAUUUACCAAUAAUUGUAAGUGUGUAUAAGUGUGUGUGUUAAUGUGUAGAUAUACAUUUGUUUAUGUGCUGACAUACCUCACCUUUAGGGUGACCAUAUUCUGAAUCCCCAAAAAGAGAACACGACCAGAGUGGUCGAUUAAACAGAGUGGCGACAACUUCAGAUCUCGCCGCCGGAGCGGUCACGUGGUUCAUGUACCCCUCCAUAGUUCCAAACGCAGCCUGCACUGUCCAUGCUCUGCAACGGGGCAGACUGCAGUGAGCGCGCAUUUAAGAGGUAAAUAUUAAAAUUAACCGUAAAAAGUCAACAUUUGCAACUCUUAUUGGAUUACUGUGUACACGUCAAAGUCACGUACGUAUAUUUAGCGGCUGGAUGACAAAUAAAAGUGAAAUAAGACAAGUUUGGUAACACGUGUUACUUUUUAAUAAGAGAAAAUAAUACAAUAAAGUGGUAAGUAACAGGUGUUACAAGCUGUUUAAACAAUUGUGCAAUGUUUUGGUCUUGCAGCAUGGCCUGCAUAACAUUUUUCCAUGUUAAACAUAUGCCUUAAGUGCUGACAGGAUUUAAAAAGUAGCGGCCCCUUUACUCUAUCAUCCCAUAAGCAGAAAUCAAAUUACAUAGCACUUAUGUUAGUCUAAAAAUAAUAAAUUGCAUAUAAUAUCGGGAACUGAUAAAGGCUGAAAUCUAAAAUAAAGCCCAUAAGUAACCAUCUCAACAUAUGAUUGAUGAUGAUGAUUCAUCUGUGAUUCAUAACUCAGUCACACAAUACAUUUUGGCAGGCCUCUACAGCUGACGACGUCCAGCUAGCAGGCCGUGGCUAAAAAAUCGAUCCCAAUUCCUUACUAAAAAAACGUAAUUACAUCUGUAAUUACAAUUUGAGCAUACGAAAAUUAAAAUCAUUUUACAUAUAAAGGGGUCCCUCAAUACCAUUUACACACGUAUUGGCAUUACAUUCGUUGAUACAAUAUUUUACCUCGGGGAGUGUGGGAGCAAACCGUGGCUAAAAAUCGAUCCCAAUUCCUGACUAUAAAAACGUAAUUACAUUUGGGAUAUACAUUUUUACAUAUAAAGGGGUCCCCUCGAUAUCAAUAACACAUGUAUUGGCAUUAAACUUGUUGAUAUUUUAUCAUUUAAUCCGGUGAGUGCUUGCCUUGUGGCCAUAGAAGUGAACGGCGUCCGACGUGACAGGCGGUCAGGUUGGAACUAUAAAGAGUUCUAUAACCCGGAAGUGGGGUCCGCCGGGCUGUUCAGCGUCUGUCUAUGGGAGUGUCGCCACUCUGUUUAAUCGACCACUCUGAACACGACUACGCGUGACUCCGCCCCCACGUAGUUAAUUUUGAGAGUUUUUCGGGUCAAGUCACGCGACACAAACUCAAAACUUCCGUACAGAACCCUGGACAUUUGGAAGAUUUUAUAAACUCCACCCGACAAGGCCAGACAGCCCCCCCAAAAGAGGACAUGUCCGGGUAAAAGAGGACAUAUGGUCACCCUACUCACCUUGCCAACAGUGAACUAUGUGUGUACACUGGCCAAGAGAGGAAAAUAAACAAAGAUAAUACGACUCUUUCUUGUGGGGUUUUUAACAGUGAUAUAACUUUAAAAGUGGUUUUUAAGUUUUUUAAAGAAGUUAAGAACAAGAGAAGAAGAGCAGACUUGGAGGCUUGAGCAAUGUCAACCUGUCAAUGACUGCAGUGAAACUCCUUACCCGCCCUAAUACCAUAUAAAUGUUUACUGCAAAGAUUUUCACACACACACAAACACAUGUACACACUAUCCAAGAUUCAAUGGACCGUUUUUCUCUCUCCAUUUUAAAGUGUAUAUAUGUAUGUAUAUGUAAAACCAAAGGUGGGUGUGAAUCUGGUUCCCAUGCGUUUUAUAGCUGUAAUAAAGUUAAGAGUUUCAUUGAUUUGGACUCAGUCCUGACUCAUAGCUAUCAGCUUCAUCUCCAUGCUGACCUGUAUCGACUGCAUUAAUUCCAGUGGACAAUAAAACUUGAGCUGUUCCACUGAUCACCUCUCCAAGACUCUAAACUGAUUGUUCGGCACUAUUAGUAUGUCAAGAGGAGGAGGGAGAGGAGGAUUAGAGGGAUGUAAGGGCAGAAGAGAGGGGAGGGGACGCUUUUGAAUGAAAUUUAUGACAUAAUUGUGAAUAAAUAAGAGACACAGAGAAUGGAGAGCAGAGUGGAAAAUGUUUGGAUAACUGUCACCAAAGUGGGGAUGGAGUAAAGAAAAACUGAGCUGAUUGUUUUCAAUGAUUACAACUCCCAGUAGUUUGGGGUAUUUAUGUCUUUUUUUACAAUGCAAACUGCUCAUGUAAGUUACAAAAGAGGAAGGGUGAUGAGGUCAAUAAAAGGGAGAUGAAAGUCAGGAAGCAGGGGUGCCGUGAUAAAAAAUGUAACAGCCUUUUCCAAGCUCCAUGACAGUUUAAACCAAAGGCCUCUUGUGAAAACUGGAAGAUGAAUAUUAAAUGGUCAGAGAAUGAGAAGCAGGUAUAGAAAAAAAAAAAAAGGAUUCCAAUAAGUAAAGUAGAAGAUCUCACAAGAGAUUCAAAUGGAGGGAGGAUGGGAUGUUAAAGACACUGAAAUGAGCAGCGAUGAAACAUUAAACAUCCUUGCACCAUCAGCUGACACCGAGAACUGGCUAUCAGAGGGAGGCGGUGAAGUAGGUGAAAGGGGAUGAAGAAGAGCGAGGAAGAAGAUUUACAAGGUUGAAACAAGGUUAUGAAUGCUGAUAAAUCUUUAAAUGGAGGUACUCUUGAAUGAAGAAGCAGAGUAGAGGAUAGUACCUGCGUCCAAAUGGACUUGAAGCACUUUGGGGAUCUGACUGAUCUUUUUUCCUCUUGUCUAGAUCUUUGCUUGUGCAUCACUUUGGAUCAAAGCGUCUGCUAAAUGACAUUAAAAUAUCAUAACAGGGUUAGUGUAUAAUUGGGACAACAUCUACGAAAUGAUGCAAAGCCAAUUUUAUUUAGUCCAAUCUACGUUUAUUAAACAAUUCAGAUAUUUCUCUGAGUUUUUCAGCUCCGGGAUCAACAGGAUUGAUGCUCACAGUUUUUGUGAGGCGACUGCAACAAGGUUUCUAAAAUGUCUUUCUCACCUGCUAUCACUUUUUUGAUCGGAUCUGUGGCCUUCAGGUGCUUGUUUUUAUAUUGUCAAUUUUGUGUAAACCACUUACACACUCGCCACCUGUGAUAUAUCGAUCAAUGGAGUUAUUUUUGUGUCUUAUUUCCCGCUUGCUCAGGGACAUAUUCUUGUUUUUGUUUUUUGUUUUUAAACGAUGGGCUUUAUGUGCCACACAGACUGCAUGGCAGAAAACAACAUCAAUUUUUCUACAAUGAUUUUUUCCUUCAUUCACCUCCUCCAGACAGGGCUGAAAGUCUAAUGUUGAUUCAGUUCCCACAGAGUUAAUUUAAACACCAUUUCAGAGUUUAUGAAGCUCCACUCCACUCCAGCACUUUCAAAAGAGUUCAAAUUUAACACAGUGAUAGAGUAUUCAACUGAAGGAGUCGCUGCCAUGAUGUUUUUUUUUGUUCGUUUGUAUUUUGGGACAAACUUAAGUUUAACUACCAAAUUUAAAAGCACAAGAAUAUUCAUACAAUUGGAAGAAGAAAUUUUAUCAAUAAUAACAUUUAUUCUUUUACAUUUACCCAUAAAGAUCAAAACAUAAAAUGAAUUCAACACUAAAAUGUUCUUUGAAAAGUUCAUCAGAUGCCCUAAGGAAGUAAUCUGUCUGGAUGGGAUGAGCGGCUUAUCUACGGCGAUACAGAAACUGUCAGUCUUUGCUUGUCUGAAGUUUAUCAGUGUGGAGGUAUGGAUGGCACCUUUUGCUGGUUGCAGCCUCUUUAACUCCAGCAUGAAUAGAAUCGGGAUAUGAAAACUGAAAUUUAUUUAGGAGAACGACAUGCAAUCACAGAGUUUUGCUAGUUUUUCCUGAUUCAGUUUUUUGAUUGAUACAUGUGACAAAAAAGGCUAUGUAAAAGAUGAUCAAAAUGAUAACCUUUGUGCAUUAGCUAGAGUGACCAUAUGUCCUCUUUAACCCGAACAUGUCCUCUUUUUGGGGGGCUGUCCGGCCUUUGUCUGGGGCAGUUUAUAAAAUCCCUCAAAUGUCCGCGGUUUUGUACAAAAGUUUUGAGUUGAUGUCACGUGGACUUACUGAGUUGGAAGCAUGUAAAAGACACUUGAUCCGACUCGAAAAACUCUUUGUGUGACUCCAUGACUCUGUUUCGCGUAGUCGUGUCCUCUUUUUGGGAAGUCAGAAUGUGGUCACCCUACAUUAGCAGCAAGUGAGGUGACACGUCUUGGUUGUAGGCUGAAGACAAAAGAAUGAACUCCUAACUCUUUCAACUAAACACUCAGAAAAUGAAUGAAAGCUGAUACAAUAAGAUGACUCAAUGACUCAAAACAAGUCUAAAAUAAUUUUGUGUGCUGUUCAUUCGUGGUGCACUGAUAUCAAUGAUCAUGUGAAAUUUCAGUUGCGGCACUUGAAAAUUCAACGAAUGCAAGGGAGACACUGACCCUACCCAAAGAAACCUCUGGCAGAACUUAGAUGAACUCUUCGCAGAGUUGGAGUAGCACUGAUGGAUCAACAUUGUCGCAUAACGCCAACACUGAAGGUCAUUUAUACAAGAAAGAGUUAAACCUAGACUUUGGGAGUUAAUUAACUGUGACAUACUUGAACACUCCAGUUUUUGCUGUGUACUCGAGAACGAAAUUAGUCAAUCAAAACGCCUCAUCAUCUUUGAAAAACUCUAACAGGAGUCAAGGGAAAUGGACAAGUGGAUGAUAAAUCUUUACAAAUCCGUUAAAAUAGACCCUCGAGCCAAGGUAGAAAGAGUUUCUAACUGCGCCUGAAGCCACAGUUAGCUUAAGGAUUGCUAGCUCCACUUUUAUAUCUCCUCUUUGUGCGUUUAAAAUGCUUCUUGGUAUUUGUAGAUACUGGUGGGGUCUUAAAUAAUUUCAACCCAAGAGAUGUCAAAGGGUUCAUUAAAGGUCUGGGAGGGGAUAAUAUAUGAAAUUCUGUCUGAAAGCUGAUGACAAAGAGAGGCACGUUUUAAUACGGGAUAAAAUAAUAUAAAUAGAGGAAAUGGGAACACAUAUUCUGUUAAAGAGAAGAAGAAAACCAAAGAAUUAACAGGGGAAAAGAGUCAACAUGACAAACUGAGACACUUUUCCCUUCCCUCCUCCUACAAUAAAAAGGCUUCACUCAUCUUCUCAUGAGUUUGAGCUGAAUGUCCCUGGCAGAGAAAGAUAUUAGAACUGAGAAACAGGGGAUACAGUGGACAAGGAGAAUGAAAAGAUAAUAGAAAGAGAUAGACCGGAGGACACAAAAGAUGUUAUACAAAAAAAUGAAGGCGCUUUGUAAGAGAGGAGGAAUAAAAAGGGGGUAGGAACGGAGUGAGCAGAAGUGAUUCGAUUGAAAAACUAGGAAGGGUCGAACCAUGAAAGGCAAAUAAUACCUGUAAAACGCUUUCACUUGCCGGGUCAGGAGGCAGAAUCAUCGCCUGCUGUAGUGUAUGGCAACAAACAGGAAAGUAAAGGGGGUGGGAUGAAAAAUAUACAAGUGGGUCAAAUUAGAGGGAUAAUACAUUCAGGUACAGCUUCUUGAAAGGAACAUUUUGCGUGUUUUUAUUCUUUUGAUAGCUUGAUUCUUGUCAAGAUGGCACAGAAAACUCGGAGAAACGAAACUGCAAUGGUCAACUGAAGUCGGUUUGAGCCCCUCAGACGGUGGCCAAUGCGUGAUCUGAAUCUACAGAAACAGGUUAACGCUGGGAAGAAGGAUUAACCACCAUUACUCUGACAUUAAAGUCAGAACUUUUACAUCCCAUCAUUUGGUCAGUCUCUUUACCAGAGUUGUUACACCCCUGACCUCAAGUGUGUGCUUGAUGGUUCUCCCAGCAAAGCUUCAGCAUCCGUUCUCGACUGGCUCACAGUGGCGAUGAACUCUGCGAAUUUGGCCGUCUUUCACUUGUUGGCUUCAUCAGUUAUGUCCUCCCAUGGGACAGUCAGUUCCAGAAGAACCGUUUGCUCGGUGGACUCGAUGUAAGUACCAAAACUAGGCAGAGAGAAGUGUUUGUGAAGUUGACUGGGAACUUGUUUUUCAAGGUCAGCUUGAAGCUGCCAGUCAUGAGCGGUGGUGAGAAGACCCCCUGUAGAACUGGGCUGCUGGUGAUGUCCCUUCUGUCCUGAUCUAAUGAAGGAGAUUGCCUGUUUGGGGGAAGCCUGGGUCUUGCUGUGCUGGAUCGCCAUACUUUUGAAGUCCGCCAAAGAUCUUAAGAGUUGAUUUUAGUGCCAGCAGCCAGCAGCACUGCCCCUCUCAAAGAAGCUCAAGAUAUGCUCCAGGUUUAAUUACUAGUUCUCAGCUAGUCAUUCAACACAGGAUUUUACUGUUGAGACUUAAUGCUCAUGUUUCAAACCCAGGUUGACAGAGAGUGUUCACCAAGGACACAGUGUUCGCUCUGGAUGAAAAAUAUAUCGAAGAAAUUUCUGACACAGAAACCAAAAGAAUAAAAACGGCAAAAACUGACUAUAAUGACCAGAAACAGUACCGGGGCUUGUCAGCUACAGUCUGUUCAUUUCAUUUGUCCUCAGGGUUUAGCCAGUGGGCGUAUUUGUUGUAUUUUGAAAACUCUGCCAGGAGGCCAAAUUGCCCUCAUGUGAUGAUAAACUUGCACCAAAUGUUUUUGAGAAUCGAUUUCCAUGUCUUACUUGUCUCAGUAUUGAUUUUCAGACUUCACAAAAGAUUGAGCACAAUUUAAAGGUAUGUUCACGUAUUGAUGAAAGAUAUAACCAACAAAUUCAUUCAAGACUGAUGAUUGCGUUUUUUAAAAUGUGGAUAUAUGAAGGAAACAUUAUGUAGAGGUGGCUCCCUACAACAAAUGCCAGGGAUGAUCUUCAAAUUUGUCAGGUUAGAGCAGAAAUUCUGGCCUCAAGAUGUGAGAUUGUACAAAAUACUGUAUAUGAGGAGGACUCAGUUUGUGGCACAGAGAUAAUGUAAAAGAGUUAUAGGAUACCUAAAUGAAUCUUUCAUAAAAGCUUUCAAGACAACCACAGACUGAAGGGGAAGGGCUUUGGAGAUCAUAUUGAUGAGUAAAAUUCAGAUACUCUGAAGUCACCACACAUAAUGUGUGUUGUUACUGUGAUACAACACAUUAUAAAGUCCUUCUGAAGUCUUACAAGUGUGUAUUUGUGUGCAUGUGCAUUUGUACACCAAAUGAAAAGACCAGGGCAAAUCAUACAUGACCUGUGAACUCUGUGUGAGUGAACUUGUAUUUGUGUAAUGAAGCUGAAGGGUGAUCUUGUGUGUGUGUGUGUGUGUGUGUGUGUGUGUGUGUGUGUGUGUGUGUGUGUGUGUGUGUGUGUGUGUGUGUGUGUGUAGUGGAGGGCAUUACUAGAGGCUGGUCGUCAUGAAGGUUAAAGUCAUAUCAACCAUGUAGAUGUACAAGCUGCCUGACUGAAACAUUUUCAUCAUUUGACAAAACUAGUUACCUGAAGGUCAUCCAUCAGUAAAGUAAAAAAUUACGAUUAAAAUAACAUUUUGAAUAAUAUUGAGUUAAUCGUGGUUCAAUCAGCUAAGAGGCAAAAAAUGAAACUGUUGAUGCACAGUUGUAAUAUUGUUGAUUUGCAGUGAUAUUUAAAUGACCUUUUAAAAAGUGGGUAUUUCGAUAUCACAUCAUUGUGGAAGUUAUUAAUUCAGAUGCUUUGCUCCCCUUGAAGCAGGAUAAAAUCAGUGUACAAACUACAUAACUGUGGUUAUAUUGAAAAAGUCCUCUGACUUGUGUUAAAAUGUAGAAAGGAAGUUUGUAUUAAGACUCUUAUGAGGGUUAAAAUUCUUUCAAUUCAUCUUAUAAAUAUGUGUUACAGUACCUACACAGCAACGUGACAGACACAGGGUUAACUGAACAAAGAAAAACUACACUUUAUUUUCACAAGUUUUGUAACUCUAGCCCGUGUUGGAGGAUUAUUGUGAGAUUACUGAGUGGAGAGAGCUCUUGAAUGGGCUGAUACAGUUGGGGACCUUGUACCCAGGAUUUCCCUCGUCAUUCUAUGAUACAGUUUAUAUUUGUCGUUACAUAAGCAGUCUGGAACAAAAAAGCGACUCCAGGGGGCAGGAAUACGAAAGAAAUCUGGUUGGUGGGUCCAGCAAAGUGAAAAUAGCUUCAAUAGCCCAAAAUAGUUCGAUGUUAUGAAAAUCCUCACUCGCAAAUGCCAAAAACUCACCACCUACUCAUUUUCUCAGUUGUGUAAUCCCUUUGACCUUAACCAAGCCUGCUGAGAUUCAGUGACCCAGAACUACAACUUUUCUGCACCAAAGGUUGCAGAAGUUUACGGCAUACUGUUUCACUUUGACAAUAAUAAGGUUUUACUAGAACUGACCUGAAAAGAAAACACAGGAUGGCACCAGUAUUGAGGACAUGCACCACAGGAAUAGAAAUAACAUGACAUGCCAAUAGAUGUUAGGUUUUAAAAAGGCCUAAAACCAUAGAUUCUUAACAGGUCUAAAUCGGUUUACACCAGGUUUGCUCGACGGAUGAUGUGUUAGGUUGUAUCAUGUUUACAGAUCUGGUUUGUUACUCCAUGUGCCCGCUGCUGUAAACAGCAAACAGAGUCGGCACAGCAGAAGAGCUGCAGAGCAACAGAGCAGCAGAGCAGGACAGUCAUCACUGCGUGUCUGUCUGCCAGUGUUUGUGCCUCUGUGAGAUUAUGUAAGGAGCAGAUUAUGUAAGUCAGGAAAUUCACAUUAACACCUGACCUGUUGUGAUAUCCUGCUCUGGUGCAGCAGGUGAGACAGGUGGAGAGCCAGACUCUGGACCGGUCGCAGAAAAACGAGGCUAAACACAGAAAAAGAAAAAAAAAAUCACAUGGGAGAAGAGUGGAAGAAAAAGGGUCGGUGUUUAAUUUUGUGGAAUUAUUUAGAGAAGUUAUUUAAACCCUGUUGGUAUAUCACUCAUUUCUCACAGAUAGCCUGAAAAGACUCAUCUUCUAAAUCCCAACUUUCAAUAAAACAGCCUGAAAACAAAAAGCUAAACUGAGGCGGUUUUACUCACAACGGUACAAGCCGCAGCAGCUCAGGGAGCCGGCUGAAAUGCCCUGCACAUAUCGGGAGUGUUAAAGACCUUGACCGUUUUGUGGAGUUGGGGUCAGAUUGAGCUGUUUUAGAUUUUCCCUGAAAGAAAAUCACAAAGAAUAAAUGUUAUCAACCUGAAACCAACCUGAACUUUAGCCAGGUAAAUAACUCUCGAUCCUUUUAUCUACGAUCAACAACAGCGGCUGUGAAUUUACCUGCUAUGAUGCUAAUCUGCCACAUUUCUCCUCAGGGGUCAUGUAGCAACAAAGAAAAGAAGUAAAGUGAUUUAACAUUUUAGGACUGCAUUAAUUUAUCUACAUUUACUUAUAAUAUUUUGAAUAACAUCUCAAUCAUUUUGGAAAGCAACCAUCCAUUUGAGAUCACCUGCAGCUGCACUGACUUUGACUUAUUCGCUAAAACAUGAACUGGUUUACCAUGCUCUAAUUUCCUGUAUAGUCUUGAUUUCUUGAUAUGAUUCUCCAUCUAAUUAAAGCAAGUGUUCCAUCAGUAUUUUCCAUUUGAAGAUCAAUACUUACGAUGACUUGAAGCAGAUAAAAGCAAAUUAAAAAAGUCGAUAAACACACAGAGGAGCAUCCAUUGUUCCUUGUUUUCAGGCGACUAUGUGAGACAAGGCUUGUGCAGCAAUUUUCAGAGUGUCUUCAUAGUUCAUCAUCACGGGCCUGUAGUGUGUCCAUGUGUGUGCGCACUCAUGUUAAGCCUGAGGGGCGGCAGACAGAACGACAGAAAAGAAGAUAAGCUGCGGUGACCUCCCCUCCUCUCUGCCUGUUUAACCUUGCUGUCUGACCCUUGGGACUGGUGCUUGCUAUGCUGUGCACUCCGCAGUGAGAGUGUGAUAACAAAUUUAAGCUGUAGAUGCUGCAGGUUGAAUACAGACUUUCAUCUGUGUGUUGACAAAUGUGUUUUUUUUUUUCCUCACCAGUAAUCGCAUUGAAAAUCGUAAAGACAAAUAUUUCAUUUGCCUUUGCUGUUCAGGUUGUUUUCUCGUGUGCCAUAUAGGACAAAACCCCGCUGACAUAAAACAAAGACAGACAGAGAAUAAAAAAAGGCUUUACAAAUACCCGCCCUGUAUGCUUAGACCAAUCCUCCAGUUGUUAAACUGAUCGGUUGACGAUUUGUUUAUUCUGACAUGGUAUCAUAUGACAAGAUAAUUGAGCCAAUUCGGGCCUAAUCAACCCCCACCCACAAAACAAUAGACAGCUGGGGUGCAAGCCAACUGUGACAACUGAAACAAUCCACGUUUUCCCAAUAGUUUUAUAAAAAUAAUGAGUGUUUCUCACCCUCUCAGUUUCAGUUGCACUGAGAACCCAGUUUUCCAAGCUAAAACUGAUAAAAAGCUAUUUCAAAGCAAGAGAGACUCAGUGGACUUACAAAAGUCUCCCCAAAUACAAACCAUUUCUCAAGGUAGGCGAGAAUUACAUCUCUAUAGAUAUUCGAGUUCUAGACUGCACACAUUUUAUAUGAGCGUGUGAAAAAAUUGUUGCGCUGGCAAAACGAGCACUGGCAUUGUUCAUCUGUGGAGUAGAGAUGUGGAUGUUUGGAUAAAUAAGCUCCUCCUGUACACAAGUUAGACUCAGGCUGUUCAAGCUAAAAUGCAAAUACACUUGUUAUUCCAGAUGUGGCAUUUGUAUAAGGAGCUGCAGAAUGCCUGUAGGUUGACUCAUGCAUUCAGCAAUACUGCUGACAGUUUAUGCACACUUGCAUUGCUUAAGGCUGUUACUGUUUUGCAUUUAGCACGUUAUCAUCAAUAUUUUUCAUUCUUUGCAAUAUUGCAAGAGAGGUGUUCCCCUGGUCCUGCCUUAGACAUAGACUGAAGAGCUUACUGCAAGAUGAAAAUGAACAUUUCUGUUCUACACCAACUCUUAUCAAAAUAUAAGAGAAAAUGCAAUUUAAUAAGAGCUCAAUGUAGGCAGAGUCAAACGUUAGUUUGUGUCAUUUCUACCAUACAUUUGUACAUUAAAAUGGGAGGACUUAUGUUAUCUACAAAGACGAGAGAGUUAAUUUGACUUGUACUCAUGAGUUUGGAUAUUUACAAGAAGGUUCAGAGACACUGCAAAAAGACAAAAAGACCAGUUUAAAGUUACCAACACACAAGUUUCUUCUAUGAAAAUAUUAUCAGAUGAUAAAGAUAUUACAACUUAAGAGAAAAAAAAUUAAAAAUAACACAGAUAGGCUAGCUAAUACUUAAAACGCAAAGAAAUGUGAGAAGAACACAGAAAUACUCUGUGAAGCUACAACAACACAAACAAACAGACACUUACAACAGGGGGGAUGGGGAGGUUUGUAACCAAAACUGUCACUGUAGAGCUGCUUAGUCAUUGACGUAUUUAUUUUGACGAGUUUUUGGAGCAACUUCACAGAACUGGACAACUGCUCCAAGCUGACAGCCUCAUUUGCAUUUACGUCGGCUAAUGUAGGCUAAGCCUCCUCAAAAUUUCUGCGAGGGAUUGUACAUAAAUUUAAAAUUACCUGAAUCAUCAGAGCAGUGUGUGUGUGUGUGUUUCUGUAUCGCCUUUCACACUAGUCAGAUUUAUAUUGCCUAUCAUAUUGGGCAUACAGCACCAUAUCAGCACCUAAACCUGCCAAUUACAGGCCAUCGAGUGCUAUUUUGGAAGUUAUAGCUAGCUAGUCGUGUUAAAUUCAAUCAUUUUAAAGUGACAAAAAAUGCUGCUGUAAAGUAGCCAAUUAAUAUUUUUGAUAUAUGAGAUUGAUUUCAUGUUUGAUUUCUGAAUUAAACUUCUGUUUGCUUUCUUUCCUGACUAUCAAUAGUGGGUGGUGCCUCUAUCAUCAAGUGCACAACUGUCAUAUUUUGAGAUUUAUUCAACUGUGGGUCAUCAUAAAACUGUUUGCUGUAUGGAGGACUACCACCAAAACAAAGGUAUUCAGUAACAUGUUUUAAUUAGCUCCUCUUCAAAGGUGUCUUAAAAGACUGAAUUAGAUGCUGAUUGCUACAUAAACCUAAAAAAUCAAUGCUGACGGGAAAAAACUAAAACUAUUUCUACAUUGAAAAUGUGAAAGUCUGUAAUUGCUGCCAGUUGAUCUAUUUUAGAUGAGGCUGUUCACAGAAGGCCUUUGCUUGUACUCUCCAAUGAUAUGACAGAUGGUAAAUAUUUAACAAUGGGCCCCAUUGAGGGGGGAAAUUUGUGGAGAAUUAGAACUUUUUCGAAGUUUGAAAAACAUUUUUCUAAAAUUUUCAAAUCUCUGUCAUUUUCUCAUGAGGAUAAAAUUGCGAGAGAAUUAUUUGUCAGACAUACAAACUGUCGUGUUAUUUUAAGAGGUCAUAUUACAAGAAAUUAUAGCAAAGUCAUGGUAUUUGCAGACUACAGUCAUCGUUUUAUGAGAAUAAAGUCAUAGCAUUUGUUCAAUAUGAGCAGUUAGCUGCUUGUACCAGAACAAGGAGCGUGAAGCAAAUCAUUUUAUUGUUCUUUAAGUGUUGGUGCAUCAGCAUCCAAGUGUUAAAAGUAUCAGGAAAAAGAUUGUGCAAAACGUUGUACUGUGUGGUAUCUCUUUUCAAAUCAGCAUCAAUAAGCAAAUCGUUCACUAAGUUAAUGAACCUGAUAUUUUACAUACUAUUCUUGUGAGUAAACGACAGAGUAUUAGAUAUAAAACAUUUUUUCUCAGUCAUAAUAUAUAUAUACAAAAGACAAAACAGGGAACUCGAUCCACAAAAGUAUCCAAAGUGUCCACACAACAUUACUGUUGUCCAAUUAAGGCAUGUCAGUUACAUCAAUUACACAAAAAACAAGAACAUUGGUACAAGUUUACAGUUUAUCCUAGGCUUGUACUGCAGAUAUACUUCUUCCUUCAGCUGUUUCAUAAUUUAAAGGGAAUCAAAAGCUGUACACUGCUGUUACCUCUCUACCCUUAAACUGCAAGGCAGCAUACCUUGGAUCCUUUAUGCCAACAAGCCAACCAAUCUUACUGUCACCCACUCUGUUAAAAUCCCCUCAUCAUUGCCGUGAGGGGGAAGCAGAAAGUUUUCAUGAAUUGCCUAAAGCAACAUUUUUUUGAGUUCUGUGGGAGUUUCCUUCUAAAUACUUCAGAGCAGAAUGACAACCAGAGUUGCUUUCUUCUCUCACUUUUCCAAAAUUGCAUUUUUCCCUCCUCUGCCUCUAAAUAAUAUCACUCACAAUGUUUUUGUCAUUUUAUAACAUAAUGAAAUGUUCCACGUGUGGAAUUUUCUUUUACAACCACAUUUGAGGGGUGACGUAAAGUGAGCUAGGAAUCCCAACAAGGUUAGACAAGAUGUAUGAAUAAAAUCAGUUAUUACAGCUGCAGGUUCUUGUUUAAAGCCUAGUCUAUACCUUGAAAUCACAGCAACAGAUCAACUGAAAUAGACAGAUGAUUGCCUAGAAUAUAGAGUCCAUUGAAAUGCACAGGUGAACUCUGGCCUGAUAGCAGGAGAAUGUGCUGCCCAUCAAUGAGCCCAGACCAAUCAAAAAGUAACUGUGUUGACAGAGCCAAAUGAUUGAUUGAAAAAAAAAUUCAAGCAAUUUCACACCCGGUUGUUAUAUUAUGCUGUUAUCAGCAAAAUGUGAUUAUUUUUUUGGACUGGGCCCGUGGCAUUAAGGUGAAAUAGUGUAUAAAACAUGCACAUCCAAACUUCUAUGGACAGGUGCUGAGUCAAGCAUAACAUUAGCCACAGACAGACAGACAGACAGACAGAAGAAAAUGGCUUUCUCUGCAGAGCUCCAAUAUACCAGGAAUUUAAUUCACCGGGUGAGUAAUGUGUAGAGCAAACCAUCAGACUGCGUAACAAUCAGAUUAUAUGAUAAGCCCUAAACACACCCUAUGCAUAUCAAAUUCUGUGUCAAAAGUUAUCAUAAAGGAACAAUUAACACCAUGUAAACAUUCAAAUUCAUAGACAGAAACACUGCAAAACCACAUAUAGACAGUAAAACACCAUAUGUACAGCUUGUAUUUACACAAUUGUAAUUGCUUUGGUCCACUGAAGUCAGAAAUAAAAGUUUUGUUGGUGUAAGAGAAGGUGGGGGGGUCUCACCAGAUCUCACCAGCAUGUUUCUGAGAUGAUGGCAUCAUGUCAAUGGUCCUUUCAGUGCAAGGAUUAAUUUGAAAGCCAUUAGUGUUAAGGCUAAAACAUACGGGAUGAUACAGGAUGCGUAUUUGGAGUGUGGCAGCAGCAUUGCGUAUCACACAGCAAAUAGGUUACCGUUCUAAUCAAUGCAGCAAAGCAUACAGGACACGUAUCAGCUCUGUCGCAGCUUCAUAUCGAGAGCAGCACUGCUAAAGAUAUGUGGCAAGUCUAUUUUUGCUGCUCUAUGCUUCCAAUGAGCAUCAAUCCACACAGAGAAGAUCGUUAUAGACAGGAAGUCAAGCACGAAAACCGCGCAUGCCAUCAUGUAUUUCAAAACAAAACACCAUGCGAACUCCUGACCGUGUAUCAGUUCGCGUAGAUGAGAAAUACUUCCUGGUUAUGGAUUUGUCAGUAACACUGAACAGUCCGAUGGCCAAUCCCUGAUCCAUGUGACCCCAACAAGACUUUUAACUGCUAACUCUGUCUGAAGGUAACAGCACAGCAUAAAGGAACAUAAUUUCCUCAAUUAAACACGAGUAAACCUGCAAAAACUGAAACUGUAUAAUUAUGUUGCUUUUGCACAUAUAGUAGAGGCUCAACAGUCACUGAAUUAUAUCCAAAUUAGCAGGAAAUAGACCAAAGAAAGGCAAAACAACCUGUUGUGGACAUGUUGUUUCCUCUAUACUGAUCCCAUCUGACCGCGGCUGCACUACGCUGCUGCUACGCUGCUGCUACGCUCCAAAUACGCAUCCUGAAUGCGAUACCCAGCGCUGCUCUAUGGAGUACAUACGGAACGCGCUCAAUACGGAUCCUGUAUGUUUUCUGCUUUAGGGUAACGGUCUCACUCCCUUCUGCAACACUGCUUUAGUCUCUAAUUGUUAAAGAAAUGGACAGGCUGCAUCGGGAUCACACUUGGCACAAAUCACAAACUAAAACAGGCAGUUAUUGUAACACAUCAUUUCUGGAUAUUGAGGUAAAUGUUAGAGCAGCUUUACAACAUGUGUUUGUGUGCGCCCCCUAACCCACUCACUGUGGUUGGGAGGUAUAGUAAUUCUAAUUGCAGUUGCCACCAGAGUUUCCAUCCACCUUAACUCCAUCCCAUGCUGAGCACCCCUUUGCGUGUGCACAUGGCUCAAUUUUCUUGUUAGACAUUAUACCAUCUCAAAUCACUGUGUUACAUAAAGCUGCGUGUGUAUUUAUAGUGAUCUCUCUCAGCCGAUUUGGUUUUCCCUCAGUAUGUGUGUGUGUUUGAAUGUGAUGUUGUUUGACCAUUAAACAGGGUGGCAGACUGCGGCAGAACGCCUGUCAUGCAAAGACAAGAUCCGACACAUCAGUCACAUUGGGUUCGCAGCGGGAGAAAAGUAAUGGAGUUCAGCACCAGGCACAUAUGCACAUUAACAGACAUUCACGCACGCUCGGACACAUACUGAGAAAGAAGAUUUACUAUGGAUGAAAUCUGAGCCAAGUGAAGCAGCUGUUCAGGAUGUUUGUCUAAUCAAGCAUUCAGAACAAUACUCCGAGUUAAAAUCUAACAGUGAUAUUAUUAUGAGAGUGAAGCAGUUCAUCCAACAACAGUUUGUCUGAACGGCUCAGUUCAUCUGUUGUUGUUAAAACUUUGGGUGAUGACUGUUAUGACGGGUUUUGAUUUAUCUCCACUCAGCAAAUAGGUACAAACUUGCAUACUUCUUAAACAUCAUUUCAAAAAUACAAGAACCGGUGCAUUUUUUUUUUUUUAAUUCAUCAUACAAGCCUAAAAUGUAAGUCAUGUCCUGGAUAAAUUUGCAUAUUUUAAAUGUAUGGCCACAUUUUAACCCCAAUCUCAUUAUAACUUGGUGAUGGCACGUCUCUUUAUUUACAUAAUCCCCAUAAAUCUGAAUCCAGAGUACACGAGUCAUCAGUUUUAAUAAACAUUAUCGACGUCUCUCCCACAUUUUCAUGCAUAAUAAACUGCUGCCUCUGAAGCACACAUCUGUAUAAAACAGCCUUUUUAUGUCCACUUCAUAUAUCACACUGUGAGCAAUAUGGCUUCAUGGGUCUGCAGAAAAAAAAAAAAAAAAAAAAGCAAAUGAUAUUGAAAAUAUAAUCCUAAAAUUCAAGAAAUUCAUGUUUACAUACCAGCCAACUCUCCAGUUUUCAGGGUUUUCCUAUAUUUAAGGGCCACCCACCCGUUUUAUUUCUCUCAGGGAACUCCUCGGAUUUUCCAACCCUCCAACUCGGUUAUAAAAAAAUCCACAUCGCCUAAAACGAAGCCUCCUUGGAUUCACUCCAACCCACUGACAGCUGUCACAGCCAAUAGGAAGUAGCGAUAGUUUUGUGAGUUCUGGCAUCUUUAGGGGCUAUUCAAGAUCUCAUUAAGAACUAGUCUGUCCCAUGUCACUAUUAUCAAAGUACUCCUUGUGUAGUCAUGUUAGUGUUUUAAGACCUGUAGAGUCCAUUGAUCCAGUAGAUGAACAGUCCAUUUUCAAGUACAAACAAGGACACCUUUUCUACGUGUCCAGAGCAGAGGAAAGUUGGCAGACUGUGGUUGGAAGCAAAGUCGGUUGUCUCCCAGUUGUAAGGUUUGAUCCCAGGGCUGUCCACGGGCCAAAGUGUCCUUGAUCAAGACACGUGCCCCCCACUGGCUGCGCCCAGUGGUGUGUGAAUGAAAUAAGUUAAAACUGAUGGGCUCUAUACAAAGCAGCCUCUGUCAUCAGUGUGUGAACGUGGUGUAAAUGGAUCAAUGUGACAUAUAAUGUUAAAGCGCUUGGAGCAGACAGAAGAAUAGAGAAAGCGCUAUAUAAACAUGAACAACUAACUGUUCACAGUGAACUAAGAAAUUCUCUAUAAAAUGUAGUCCAGAUGCCUCAUACCGUUCCUGCACACUGGUGACCUGACCAGCUACGUAUUCAUUAGUAAGUCAUGCUGAAGCAAAAUUAUCUAGCUCAUGAUAGAAAAAGUCAGUGUAGGAAAAUGACAUUGCAGAUAUGAUGUUUUUGCACACUAAGACACUCAGUUGGUCUACAUAUGUUUUAUGGUCUGACUGAAACUGGACUUUUAAAAUACAUAUAAGCACACUAGUCUGAUUAAAAUCACACUAAAAUCAAACUUCUUGUAGUUGGAUUUACAAACCCGAAUAAUGCGAUUGGAGAUCAACUUUCUCUGUCAUAUUUACAGCUCUGUUAAACUAAAACUGGCCUUAGCCUUUUGUGCAUAUUGUAGUGUUUGCACACCAGGCUCUAAGCUGGUUGUUGAAUAGCAUGGAUGCGUUGCUAAGAAGCCAGGUAGUAAACAAAACCUGGGCCGAUGAAGAAACAGCAUAAAUAAAACGAAACUUUCCUGACAAACAGCACAGAGCUGUGAAAGUGACAUACUGUUAGCCUCUUGCUAACGCAUCUUGCUAGCCUACAUCAUCUGAUAGUAAUGAGCUGGAAGAGGACAUGCUGCUACCUACCAUAACAGAGACAGACGUGCUUCGGUCAAUGAUUCAAUGAUUUUGCAUAUAAAGUGGGACAAGGACAGUAGUCCAGUUGAAUCACCUGUUUAUGUAAAGGUUAUUUCGUGUAAACAACAGAUCCACAAACACAAUAGAGUCAGUGACAUACACAACAAACCAUUGCAGCAAAUGGUUCAUAUUUUGAUGAAGGAGGGAGAUUAGACUGAGUGUAUUACUGUGUGUUUUACAGAGAAGUGUGAGGAUAUUUUUCUCUGUUAUUUUUUCAAUCUGUUUUACUGUUCAUCUAUGGAUUUUAAAAAAGGUAGCCCGUAAGAUUGACCACAAACAUCUCCUCCUCCACAGACCUCCACCACAUCCAGAGUCCAAUGAAAAACAGAAGAGGUGGGCCUUCUCCUCCCUCCAUCUCAAGAGCAGAUUCAACCUACAACAUCCCACAGCAGCGUUCCCUGAAUCAUUCCGUCUUUGUUCAGUUUUUAAAAACUAAAUCAGAGAACCAGAAAGACAAGUGAGUAUGAACCUUGUCACUUUUUUUUUGUUUUAAUGCAUAAUUGCACAACUUAUGCUCUUAAUAUUAAGCACUUGGAAGCCAUACUUGAAGGUAUCACUUCUCAAAAUGACUGGGAAAAGUAAAAGUUGUCUGUUCCAAAAUUACUAAAACCAUUUUGGUACUUAAGUAUCAAAUGUAUUUGGGUUUUAAUUUUACUUUACAAUUGAAAAUACUAUAGAAAAAGUAAAUGAUAUUAACAAUAAUAAUAAUAAAAAAGUCAGAAUUACGAUGAUUACAAACAUUUUGUUCCCAACUACAUAACACCAGUUUUAGUUAUUAGAGGCCUCAGGCAGAGUCAACUGUCUCCCUUUUUAGUCGACGAAGCCACAGAGCCCGGCCAGGACAGAGCUGAGUGUGAAUUAUAAAUAAGCACAGACAGGCUGUAAUAACCAGGACCUGAUUAUCAUCGUCCCAGAGAGUAACAUCAUAACUCAAAGUUACCGCAUCUUAUUGGUUAGACAAAAUGAUUAUGUAAGAUCAUUACCCAUGUAAUAGCUGUCCUUCCACCACAGUUAUAAAGUGUACUUCAACUCACCACACUUUUGCAUCACUGAUAUUGAUUUAAUGAUCUCGACACUUUAACUCUAGAGAGGCUUGUAAAGUUUUGGAUCAUAAAACUCUAUUUAAUGUGCUCUGGCACCUUAUUCAAAUUCAAAAUGCAUAUUGUAAUUCUUAAUAACAAGCUACUUAUAUUUGUGUGUAUCCCUUACUUACAGGAACUCUAUGAGCGUCAGGAGAAGGUGUUGGUUUUGUCAGUAGCUAAGAACGGAUCAGGGGUACUGAAAUGUGAGAUCACCUCUAAAUUUCCUUCUCUGGACAUUUUACACACAAAUUUAUUCUGCUUAAGUUUCAUGACUAAGACCCAAAACCUUUCCCUUAUCAAAAUACACAGGGUUAGAAGCUGAAGGGGGAGACUGAGCUUAAAUAACUCUGUGUCGAUUCAGUGCAGCGUUUGUUGGAUGAAGUGGUGUCAGUCGUGUCAGUGGUGUGCAAUUGCAGGUGGCCUCACUCACCUUCCUGUUGUCAGGCCAGUUUCAACAAAAAGGACCAAGCUGAGUGGCAUCCUCUGUGAGUAAAACACCAAAUACCAACAGGUACCUGUUAUUACUUCACUUUGAAAAGCUAGUUCUGUCAUGACUCUUAACUGAUGAUGUGUUAAAAGAAAUCUGGUUCUCAUCAUAACUGUAUUAUUAGAUAAUGGAGAGCAACUGGAACUAAUGAUGCAUUGAUUCAUACAUGAAAUCAUCAGCCUUUUCACUGUGACGUUUCCACCUUUAUUGUUAAAUGUUUUACACUUUCUACAUAUUAGGUUGUUAAAUAGUCUUAGGGAGCAUCCAAUACUUUUCAGGUAUGCAUCAGUGCAAUACUGACUACACAGUUCCUCAAUACAGAGAUUAAUGUUUAACUUUGUAACCUAUAAGCUUAAGAAAUUUAAACAAGAAACCUUUAUGUCUGCAACUUCCGAGUCUAUAAAUAAGACACCAAACUCUAAGGUUAAGACCACAAAUUACAGUAAACAAAAACAGGCAGCAAUUAAGCCUGACUUCAACUGCUGAGGGAAUGUGAUUUGUGCAGCACCUAGAUAACACACCACUUUGAUAUGACAUAACCUGAACACAAAUUGUUGGGUUUCAUGGAUCGGGGAGAAGGUGGUAGGUGGAGCUGGAAUAGUCAGUAGCUGCUGCUGGAUCCAACAGAGCCUGAGAGGGAGCUCUUUGGUAUGAAAAAGCACAAGGCUGAAGAACACAGAUUGCUGAGAGUCACUUAAACUCGGCUAUUACUACUGAGUGUAUGCUCAAAAACCCUUAAUGGCAAUGCAGUUAGUGGACAGGUAUCCCAUAAAUGCACUAUGUGUAAAAUUGUUACACAGCUGAAUGAAGGGUUGUUUUAAUUUGGGGUUUUCUUUCUAGGUGACUUGACCUAAUGAGGAGCCAUCAAACCAUGACAAUUCAGAUAACCUUCUUUUCAUGUUAUCACCACAUUCAAAAUUAGUCUCACUGUUCCCCUCAUCCUAAUAAUGUCCUGUCAUACAUCAGUCCUCCUGUCCCCUCAUCCAUCCUAAUCUUCCCAUUCUUAAUUUGCUUUUGUUUGCUCUCUCUCUCUCUCUCUCUCUCUAUCUCUCUCUCUCUCUCUCUCUCUCUCUCGUGGUUAAUCAUUCUGAUUGGAUUGAUCAAUAUCAGGAAGUAAGGGGUUGCACGACAAAGCAUUGGUUUCUUAUUUGUUUCACUGUCUCAGUGUCAAUACAAAACACAACUAUACAGCAUUUUAGACAUUUGUCUGAGUAUUUGCUGAGGAGGAUGCGAGAGCAGGAUCUAAUCUUCCUUAAAUCUAGAAGUCGUUGAUCGAAUGGAUGCAGACCAUGCACUUUGACAUCCAGUCCUGAAAACACAGGGAGGAACAGAACACAUAAAAGUGAUUAACAGAGUGGGACCCUGCAAGCUCAUCAAAUGUGCAUUUGCAAUGUCAGCUGCAGGUAUAUAUUUUAUCAGGACUAUCGGCUGCUGCAUUUUAUUUGUAACAGGUCUACACAUGAUUAACAAGGCUUCCUCUGGGGUGAGGGACACAAUCAUUCCACACAGUCCUGUGGGAAUUUUAUAUGUAUUACUCACCUUGUCCUGUUAUUUAUUGCUACCAUCUAAACCAUCUGGUUGGGUUUGUUUAACAUGGAAUGAAGUCGAUAUUUUGUCAGCUCACAUCUGGAAAUAUUCACAGAUAAAUAAAUAAACAUAACCCCACCAAACCACUCUCAAGAUGGUGGACUCUUCAGAGCUGCCAUUUUCAAAUACCAUUCAUUGUCUUCUAGUUUUGUUACCCAAAUCUUCCAUUAUAUAUUUAUUUCUUUGGAUUAGUCCCGUUUCUUUACAAUGCAUACAUUUGCACUGUGCCUUUAGACGUGUUGAGAUUGUUCGACGGAGGAUGGAGAAGACCCAAGGUGUUUUUCUCCCUUCUGUUUUUACACUCUCGUUAUAACCCGGGUAAAAGGCCUCUCAAAAGGCAGGAGGCAGGUUCCAUGGGGGGAGAAUGGCAGAGGGAAGAAAAAGAUUGUAUAUAGGAGGGUAGGAGAUUGCACUACAGGAGGAAAAAAAAGAAGAGAGGGUUGAGGGAAAGAGGGGUAGAAAGGGGCAGCGAGGAAGGGACGAGAGGGAGGGAGAGUGCAGGUUGUUGGCUAAGCUCCAAUGAGCUCAUUGAAGAAGACCCUGCUGUCAACUUGAAUCAAUGUGACAGACAGUAGACCUGCGACUUGGGGGCCUGCUUAACGCAGAUGCAGUGGCAGGGAUACACAUGCACACACACAAACAUACACAUACAUAAAGUAACACAUGUUUAACUGUAUGCUGUUCAUGUUACACACUCUGGAUCCCUAAAAGGUGGCGGGUGGAUUAAAGCAGUUGUCAGUGUGUUUAUGUUGACAUGUAAACAAAGCAUUUCACAAAGUGUAACUGUAUUAAAUAUGGCGUGGCAUUGCAGACACACAGCAAAAAACGGCAGCAAGUUUACUUCAAGUAUUUUUCCUGCAUUACUGGCUUUUUUUCUGUUUAAUUGCUGUGAGGCCUGCUACACACAUAUACCCCUUUUCUACCAAGCCAGUGCUAGUUCUAGCUCUGGGCUGGUGUAGUGCUGUUUCAUAGCUGGUUCAACUUGCAAACCGUUGAAGAACUGGCUUGCUUUUUCCAUCGACUGGGGCCCCAAAAGAGCCACAUCAUUGUGUCACAAACAUCAGGGAAUAGGUCUGUUAUUUCCCUGCACAACUUCUUGCAGCACAAAGACAAUGGAUGACUUCUGAGUCUGAUUUGAAGUGCUGCUCCCAACAUGACGAUCAUUCAAAACAUAAACAGAAGGUCCAGAGAAUUAGUUCUGCCUGACAGGGUGUUUUGAGCUGUUGUUAGCCUCAGCCCUUUGGACUUGACAACUCUGCUCCUGACAUAAACAGUUCUUUCUUCUAGCCCAGCAAGGAGUUGAUGGCAUCCUAGAACCAUUUUUCUCUAGCCCAGAGUCAGUUUUUUGGUUGUGAAACAUCAAAGAACUGGCUCCAAAUUGGAAGCGGCUUGGUAGAUAACAAAAAAGCUGGUCCAGACCAAAGUCUUUUAACAAAGACCCAAUGUAAAGAUGGGAUCGGAUUGAGCCCCAUCUUGUGAGAUCAGACCCCCUCCCAUCCCAUCUUCAACCACAUGAGUGAAAACCUUUAUUUAUCAAGUUACAGUGGAAAGACAGAAACCUUGAGCAGAACUGUGAGUCAGUAACUGUGCUCCACUGUUUUGGUGCCUGUUGCCAGUUGUAAGGUAGGACCAUUGACCGAUUUUAUUGAUUUUAAAAAAGAUAAUUGACUGACGGCUCUGCUGACAAUUGCAGGCCCAAUAAGCAGAGUAAAGAAGAAUCAGUGUAUAAUUUCUCAAUCCAUUUUUUAAAAAUAAAGCCAACAAUAACAUUAAAAACAAGAGAACAACACUUAUUUUUGAUAGCUGUUUCCAAAACAUAAUUGAAAAAAUGAAUAACAACUCAUUUUCCCAAUUCCCUGUUUUGUGUUCAAAUGUGUGUCAGACGCACAGUUGGAGACAGUGAUUUUGUCAUCAACAGAUAAGUUUGUGUGCUCACAUCUUUAUCAUUUACAAACAUUCAGGCUUUUAAUUAUUUUUUAUAACUUGCUCAGUGGUAUCAGGCUGUAUAUUAUCUGUAAUUGCAGUAGUGUCCCCUGGGCUAGGUCUACAGAAAUAAGGCCAUACCAUCCCUACAACCCACAAAGCAACGGCAAACGGCAGUUUCUCUGCUAAUAUUAGAGACAUAAACUGACAUUAUUGGGAGCAAGUCUGAAGAAAGUACCAGACUAAAAACUACUAGUGAUAUCAAAGGGAAUGACACAAGAACAAUGAGUGCACUAAAGUAAUAAUAACAUGGAAAUGUAUCCUAACACAUCAAAAGUGGAGCAAGAUCAUAUUUGUGCAUAAGGUCUGUAGCUUGAAGAUUUUAAUGUUACUGUAAUUUGACUGUAUUUCAAAUAUGAAAUGUGUUUUUUCGUUUUCUUGUUCUUUUUCCCUUUAAUUUGAAAGAAGAGUGAACGAAUGAUACACGGAUUGAGAGGAAAUGUCAAAGGAAAACAUGACAAAUACCGGCACAAGACUUAAUGAACUUUUUAUAGCCAUGAGUAUCUGCUUCAGAUCAAUACAGGAAUCUGUUCCUGUUUUGACCUUAAAUAUCACAGCAGGCAUCAAUAAAGGCCCGUUGUUCAGGCAAGGGGUGGGACAACACAACCAUAAAGACAUUUAUGAACACAUGUACAGUCAUGAUGAGGCAAACACACUGAUGUUUACAAAUGUAGCCUGAAAUGCCAGCAGAUGUUCACAGACUGACAUACGAAUAGUGUAUUUGCACAUUUACAGGCCACAUUAGUACACACAUAUAUUCCGAUAUGCAAGUGUAUAGAAAGAAAUAACUUGUUCGUUACUCUAGGAUAUCUCCCCAGCUAAAAUAAUGCACACUGCUCCGACUCAUACCUCUGUCUAAUGGGGGCCAAAGGAGCAAUCUGUCUGCAGCUCCCGUGCCUGUGUGUAAGUGGACACUUGUUCUUGUUCUCUCUUAUCACAUUGUUUCAGAUAAUGAUGACACCUCUGACCCCACAUUUCAGCGAGCCCUCCAGGACCUUCCAACCAAUCUAGCUGGAGUUCUACUAUAAAGGAAAUCCUGUUAAAACUCUCACCAAGUGAUUAAAAACCCCAAUGGGAACCCUGGUGGGGUAUGAGAUCCAGAUCACUUCUUCAGAACAUCUGAGGCAGAAAUAAUUUGUUCCUAUCUGUGACCAUGUGGGUUUUAGCGAAAGAAGGUCUCUGUAUGUCCUUGAGUGUGUCUUCGUGUGUGCCGACCACAAGACCAAAAGGUUAAAUAGAGACAGUAAAGCCAUUGCAAUAUCCCAUUUCAUUAAGGCAAACUAUUCAAUAGCUAAAUAUCGACCUUAUCAGAAUUAGUUAACCAUAUUUCUCCUAGCUCUCACUCUUGAGCACACAUUCGAUAUUUAACAUCCUGUCCUUUUAUACACUCACAGACUCUUGAAAGGAUUUCCGAUGUUAAAUACGAAGCUUCAUUUAAAGUACACUCUGUGCCUUCAUAUCCCAUUUGUUUUUUGGUACAAAG